GUACUUGAAGCUGAUGGAUUUAACGAUGUAAUCGAGAAAAUCUGUUGUGUCAUCAAAUUUGAACCCUCUGCUGAUGGAGGUUCAAUCUGCAAAACCACUAACACAUACUACCCCAAAGGUGGUGCUCAGAUCGGUGAGGAACACCUCAAGGGAGGAAAAGAGAUGGGUUUGGGAAUGGUUAAGGCUGUUGAGGCUUACCUCCAUGCAAAUCCUACUGCCUACAACUAAUUAUAAUGAAUGCUACUGAAGGACUCUUCGACAUAUUUUCUUCAAGAUUGAAGUACACACUGAGGGUGUGUUUCCUUUUUUGCUUGGUUUGCUUUAAGCUGUUUGGUUAAGUUAAAAACAAAAUUGAAUCAUAGAGAGAACAAAAAAAAUAUAGUGUUUCUUAUGGAGAAAAAAAUGGAGCUGAUGCCUAAAAUCUCACAUGGAUCCAACAAGGAUAUGCUCAAAGUUGGAAAAAUGUGCUAUAAUUAUGAUUACUCCUUUAUGAAAUAAAGCUGAAAGCAGCUCAAUUUCUUUUUGUUUUCCAUAUUAUUCAAUUUCGUUGUCGAUUUUUGAUAGUUGUAUUUUUUUUAUUGCUUUAAUAAGGGCUAUGAUUGGAUAUCCUGUUAUGCCAUUGGCUGUCGAUGCUAAACCUGAUAAAUUAGAUGGAUCAUCCAAAUAAAGACAAAAUUGGCUAUGUAAACAUUGGUGAGGGACUAUUUCAGCUUAAGAAAAAUAGUUGAGGGACUAAAUUGGCUUAUAAUAAAAUUAGGGACUACUUCAGCUUUGUAAAAAUAGUUGAGAGACUAAAUUGACUCAUAAAAAGUUUAGGGACUAUUUUGACAUUAACGAAAUAGUUUUGAGACUAUAAACAUUAGGUCACAAUGUUGAAAUAUCAAAACCCAUGUUUGGGACCAAAACUCAUAGAACUUCUUCACGUCGCUAGCGAAAUUUGAUUCUGAAGUAAUGCUAAUUUUAUUUAUUAUUUGUUUCCUUGCUGGUCUUCUGUCUUUUUGGUUACAAUAUUAAAAUGUAUCCAUAAUUUUCAAUUCCAAAAGUGUUGAAUAUUUAAACGAAUUCUAGAAAGGGCACUGAGAGUCAAAAUCUUAUUCAAACAGCCAGCCAUCUCAGAGUACAUAUUUUUUUAUUAUCAGGUUCAAAAUGUAUCUAUUGCAAUUUUUGAAUGAUCAGCCAUGACUAAGAGAAUAAAAUAAUUCACUUGCUGUUUUUAGAUGUGAAUUCAUGACUGUCAGUAGUCUAUAAAUACACUUAUUGCUCACCACUCUUUGCACCGCAAAAUCUUUUCAAGAUCUAUCAAACCCUCCUGUUCUUGAUCUUUGUCCAUUUGUGAAAAAGCAAAUUAAAGCAUCAUGGCCUCUAUCACUUGUAGUGCUGAGAUGACCUCCCCAAUCCCUCCUGCAAGGUUGUUCAAGGCCGCCAUCCUUGAUGACCACCUUCUUCCCAAGAUCAUGCCACAGGCUAUUAAGAGUGGAAAUCCUUGAAGGAGAUGGUGGAGUUUGAACCAUUAAGUUGAGCACAUUUGGUGAAGGUUAGCAGUUAUAUUAAAUGUAGAACCCAAAUUUUAAGGAUCUAAUAAUAAUCAAUGCGUGCAGGGUUACAGAAUUGGAGGGAUAAAAUAAAUACUCAAAAUAUACGUGGAAGAAAAGAAAAUAAUAAAUUCAACUCAUAAUAUUAUUGAAAUUUCAAACAAUGAAGAAAAUCAUACCACAAUAAAUUCAGCUGGUUCUAAUAAUAAUCAAAGCAUACAAGGUUGCAGAAUUAAAAGGAUAAAACAAACACUCAAAAUAUAUGUGGGAGAGAAGAAAAUAAUAAAUUCAACACACAAUAUUACUGAAAUCUCAAACAAUGAAAAAAGUCACACCAUAAUAGAAAACCUUGCUAAUUCUUCUAGAUUCUUUCUCUUGAGAAACCAACCUAAAUAAUGUCCUAUUUAUAAUCUACCAAACUUGUUAGGAAAGAAACCACUUGCAUAAGAAAUUACCAAAUAAAACAGAAAUUCCUAAAUCACACAACUACUAAAAACAUAACUCAAAUAAAACUAAAAAUAAAUAAAUAUUUCUUGGCUUAGUUUAAUUUGUCAACAUUGCCUCCCUUAAACCAAACUAUCCAUUGAGAUAGGUUCAACACCAUCUCGAGCAAUAAUUUCUAUGUUGUAGUACACUUGACAUGAAACUCUAACUUGUUACCAGUUAUUAAUUUCAUUUUUACAUGUAACAAUGGACGCACUAUGUAUUUUGUAAAAAAUUUCUCAGCAAUUUCUUCUUGAUCAAAGUACUCACUUAUACAAACACAUUCAUCACCAGAAUCACCAUAUUUACCACCAAUGUAAGUGCCUAAAAAUACAAAAUCAUAGAUUGCUUUCUGGCUAAAAUUAUCAUCACCAAAUAAUUCAAAAUAACCACUACUACAAUCAUCCAAAAUUUUCAUACUGUCAGUCAACUCUUUUGGAGUAAAGUAUUUUUCAACUCCGAUGACAUCCAUAUCUAUCAAAUCAAACAUUCUCCCAUGACUUUGAAGAGAGUCCGCAACCAACGAAUUUUUCAACAACAAUUUCAUGUUCUCUUCUCUUAUCAAAUCAAAAUUUUCUUCUUCUUUUGUCAAAUUACCAUUUUAUUUUUUUCAACAAAUUCAUUACUUCUAAUUUCUCCAAACAAGGUACGCAAAUCAAAACUAUCAAUUGAUUCAAAAUUUUCAAUAUCACCCAUAUUAUCAACAAAUCUAUCAUUUUUAAAAUCCACAAACUAAUUCCAACAACUAGACUUCGGUUUGAAAGCAUAAUUUCUCUCAAUCGUGUGCAAAACAUAGUAAAUAUUCUUCCAAAAUCUCUAAAGUAUUUUAGUACAACCAAUAAAGGUUUUAUAAAUACUUUUUGCCAUUAAUUUAUGCAUCACUUGAAAGAAUAAUUGUGCCUUUUUCUUAAAAACAUGUUUUGCCAACUUACUUGCGUCAACCCAACAAAGAAUAUCAUCCAAAUUACAUUGUUUGACAUAUUUUUCCACUGUUAAAAUCCAACCAAAUAUGUAUGUAUAUUUGUGCUUAUAGGAGUCAAUAUGAAAAAUUUUUCACCGUCAAUCAGAUCUUUAUAAUAUUCCAUUAUUUAACAAUUUGUAUACCUGAAUAAAUUUUUUUCCUCCAUCCUGUCAUGUUUUCUUGGCCUCCCUGGUUGACUAACCAAAUUAUUGUUGUAUGUAUACCCAUGCUCGUCAAACCUCAUUCGUGUACACUCGUAAGGAGUGGUUCUGAGCUUAUUGUGAAUGCUCAGUACCAAGAAGUAGAAGAGAGAAUGCAUAAGAGAGAAUUAACUUGGCUAAAGAAUUAGGAAACAAUUGAGGGAUUUUUUAAGAAAUUAAUUCUCCAACUGCCACUUUUGGAAAUUUUCUAUCAACAACUAGUUACCAAAACACUAGCACAUAGUAAGAAAUCUGGAUAAUUUCAGAAACCUCCCUUGAGGCUUUUAAUAAUCUCGAGAAGCUCCCCUCAAUUUUUAAAAUUGCACGUACCAUCCCUAUUGGUGCAAAAGUACUCUACUACCCCUAAUAGGAUACUCAAAAGACUUUUUUUAUGGGAAAAAAGAAGGCCAGAAAUCCAAGCGAAAACAAAAAAAAUCAAUUUAUUUUCUCUUUUAGCCUUUUACGCUUUUGCCUUCUACCUUUGCUCACUUUCCCAUGCCAAUCUUCCUAUAACCACUUUCCCAAUCCCCUUUCCCCAACUUUUCUUCUCUACUUCAAGACCAAUUUUUGUCCAUCAAUCCUGGCUUGUGCUUUGUUCCAUUCCCUUCCCUUCUCCUUCUUUGAUUUCCCCUAUAUCUCCCCUUCUCUUUGCAAAAGUGACUAGGCUCAUCUCUCUCCUUUUUUUCCCCAUAUUUUAAGUGUAGUGGGUUUGAUUAUUUUGCAUCUAUUUUAUUUGAUUUUGGUUGAUUAUGGGUGAUAAAACUUGGUGAUGUCACAUAUUAAAAGUUUGAUAGAUGGAUAUUGGGCUUUAGACAAUGAUUUGCUGAAAAAAAUGGCCGCAAUGAGAGGAAGAGGCAAAGGGAUUUGAGUGUGGGGUUGAUUGUUGAUGAAUUGUUGUUUUGGAAAAAAUUUGAGGUUGAGUUUUAUCAAAUUUGGUAGCAAGUGGCGAGAUUUGUUCAGGUUGCGGGAAAUAAAUUGGUUUGUGGUUUCUUGGGCACCCACAGUCGUUGGAAUUGGUUUUGAUUCAAAUUAGGGUGGUUACUUGAUUUUCCUAAUAGUGUUGCUUAAAAGCACACGAUCAUCAAAAUUCCUUAUUUUUAUCUUUUAUUUUUUUUUUGUAGAAAAGAUUUCAUGACUUUCGUGAUAGUCUAAUUUGGAAGAAGGCAAUCAAGGGAUGCAAUCAACAUUUAGCAAAAGCUCUUGUUCUUUUCUUUGUAAUUUUUAGGGUAAAAAGGGUUGUUUAGGGUAUUUGAAGGAAAUGAUAGUCUAUUGGGUCUAUUUUGAAGCAUAAAUAGUGAACGUAAGGGAGGUUGGUGUUAUUUCUGAAACCUAAGGGAAUUGUCUGAAAUUGUCCGAGACCUCGGAGGAGGUUUUCAAAAUUAUCCGUAAGAAAUCAAAUGCGAAACUUGAUUCGUACACGCACACACGACACCACACCACGUCACGCGUGUGUUGAGGACUGAUGUCCGUAGCCAACGACAAGCAGGUUUUCAAUUUUUUUUUCCUUUCCUGGAUUCAGAGAUGGUGUCAGCUUCUAUUAUUGGUGAGCAGGAGGAAAUCCACAAUAUACAGUACACAUCACCCAUAUUCUUUUUAAUUGAACAAUGUAUGAAAUUAUGGUGAUUCGAAAUUAAAUUAUAUGUUUAUUGGACAACGAAUCCAAAAUAAGAGUUGGAAAUGUAUUGUGACAACAAUUGUUAACUUUGGCCACAAAUGAUCAAAAUAAAUAUUUAAGGUUUAAUAUGACAUUAUGGGUUCAAAAUAUAGUUACUUGUUAUGAAACAACUAAAAGUGCGGAUGCCCAUUUGUAUUCUCAAAAGGAUCAAUUCAUAAUUCAUUGCUCCCAAGAUGAUUAAUUCAUAAUUCAUUGCUACAUUAUGUAAAGAAAUUACAUUGGAUGAAUGGUUUCAAUCCAUAAGAGCUAUUCAUGUAUUGGAUGAACCGUUUCAUAUGGCUAUUCAUGUUCUUGUAGUAAUGAGUGUUUAAUAGAAUUGAUGUACCUUUAAUUUUAUAGUACCUAUACAUAGAGGUACCUGGCACCUCUUCGGUGUACUUUUUGAUUAGUUGGAAUAAUAAGAAAAUCAUUCUCCAUUUCUGUACUCUUUCACUAAUAUUUCAAUUCCUAUUAUAGUAGUUCAUUUUUUUUUAGUUUUACAACACGUUAUCAGUACGAGUCUCUCCUUUUAAACAAAAAGGUGAAAACGGAGCCUCUACCUUAAAAAAAAAGUGAAACACGAGAUUUUGCCGAAAUUCUGCCGUAUUUUUCCAGUAACUUCUGUCUACUUAUUGAGAAAUGGAUGCCAAAUAUUUGGGAUUAAAUGAUGGUGAUGAUGACAUUUGUCUCAUUGAUAGUGCUACUACGCGCACUAUAUUGAAAAAUAAAAAAAUUUUCUUGUAUGAAAAUGGGAGAGACAAAUGUUAAUAUCAUAAGUGGUAGUGCAAAAUUGAUUGAAAGAUUCGGAAGAGCCACUCUAUUUCUUCCUAAAGGGACUAAAAUUGUCGUAAAUAAUGCACUAUUGUCUCCCAAGUCUCGGAGAAAUUUAUUGAGUUUUAAAGAUAUCCGCAAAAACGGAUAUCAUAUUGGGACAAUGAUUGAGACAAAUGGAAAAUUUUUAUUAAUCACAAGUAUCAUUUCUAGACAGAAAUACGUAGUAGAAAAAUUACCUUCUUUUUCUUUUGGCUUAUAUUAUGCACAAAUUAGUGCAAUUGAAAUUUAUCACCUAGUAAACCAAAAGUCUAUUCAUCCCAAUAAUUUUAUCAUUUGGCAUGAUCAUUUCAGAAAUCUUGAAUCUAUAAUGAUGAGACAAAUAAUCGAGAAUUCACAUGGUCACUCAUUGAAAAAUCAAAAGAUAUUAAAAGCAAAUGAAUUCUCCUGUGUUGCUUGUUCCCACGGAAAAUUUAUUAGACCAUCACCAGCUAAAGUUGGGACUGAAUCCCCUACAUUUCUAGAACGAAUUCAUGGUGAUAUAUGUGGAUUAUUUCGAUAAUUUAUGGUGCUAAUUGAUGCAUCAUCUAGAUGGUCACAUGUAUGUUUAUUAUCUACUCCCAACCUGGCGUUUGCGAGUUUGCUUGCUCAAAUAAUUAAAUUGCGAGCACAAUUUUCAGACUAUCCAAUAAAGAAAAUUCAUCUAGAUAAUGCUGGUGAAUAUUCAUCACAUACUUUUGACGAUUAUUGCAUGUCCAUUGGAAUAACUGUUGAACAUCUUGUAACUUAUGUUCACACACAAAAUGGUCUAGCCGAAUCAUUUAUUAAACGGCUACAAUUAAUUGCUAAACCAUUGUUGAUGAGGUUUAAACUACUUUCAUCUGCUUGCGAACAUGCUAUAUUACAUGCAGCAACACUUGUGAGAAUUAGACCGACAAGUUAUCAUACUUAUUUUUCCCUACAAUUAACUUUUGGUUAUGAAUCCAAUAUUUUUCAUUUAAGAAUAUUUGGUUAUUCAGUUUGUGUUCUAAUUGCACCGCCCCGACGUUGUAAAUUGGGCUCGCAAAGAAGAUUGAAAAUAUAUGUCGGGUAUGAAUCACCUCUAAUUAUUAAGUAUAUGGAACCAUUGACAGAUGAUUUAUUUAUUGCGAGAUUUGUAGAUUGUCAUUUUGAUGAAUCAGAUUUUUCAACAUUAGGGGGGAGAUAAAAAUCAACCGAAAAAGGAAAUCACUUUAAAAAUAUCAUUGAAUUUUCUCGAUUCUCGUACAAAAGAAUGUGAACUAGAAAUUCAAAAGAUUAUACAUUUGCAAAAAAUUACAAAUCAAUUACCGGAUGCAUUUAAUGACUCCAGAAGAGUUACUAAAUCACAUAUUCCUAUUGAAAAUGCUCUGAUUAAAAUUAAUAUCCUUGAAGGACAAAUUACAAGUGCUAAUGAGUCUAAAGUGCGCCUGAAGCGUGGGAGAUUUCUUGGUUCCAAAGAUAAAAAUUUUCGAAAGAAAAGAGGAGUACAUGAAUCAACAAUUAAUGACAAAAUUUAACCUCCUGAAGAGAUCGCUCCUAAAGAGCCAAUUCUUGAAGAGAAUAAAAUCAUAGAAAAUUCAAUAAAUUUUGUCACUUCAGGGAAAAGUUGGAACCGAAAAGAAAUAAUUAUUGAUAGUAUUUUUGUAUAUAAUGUAGCACUUGAUAUUAUGGUAGAGAAUGGGGAUUACGAGCCUAAAUCGAUUGAUGAAUGUCGACGUAGAAAUGAUUGGCCAAAAUGAAAAGAUGCGAUCCAAUUUGAAUUGGACUCACUGGUUAAAAGAAAAGUUUUUGGACCUGUAGUCCAAACACCUGAAGGUGUGAAGCCAGUAGGAUAUAAAUGGGUAUUUGUGAAAAAAAAAUGAGAAAAAUGAAAUCGUGAGGUAUAAAUUAAUACUUGUAGCCAAAGGAAUUUCACAAAGGCCUGGAUUUGAUUAUGAUUACACGUAUUCACUUGUAGUGGAUGCUAUCACAUUUAGAUAUCUUGUGAGUUUUGCAGUACAUGAAAAAUCAGAUAUGCAUCUAAUGGACGUCGUUACUGCAUAUUUAUAUGAAAAUCUUGAAAAUGAUAUUUAUAUGAGAAUUCCCGAAGGAUUCAAUAUGCCUGAAACAUGCAAAUCAAAUCUUAAAAAUAUUUAUUUAAUUAAAUUACAAAAGUCUUUGUAUGGAUUCAAACAAUCUGAACGUAUGUGGUACCGCCUUAAUGAAUGUUUAACUAAAGAAGGCUAUACCAAUGAUCCAAUAUGUCCAUGUGUCUUUAUCAAGAAAAAUGGAUCAAAUUUUGUGAUAAUUGUUGUAUAUGUUGAUGAUCUAAAUAUGAUUGGAACACCUGAAAAGAUUCAAAAUAGUGUUGAAUAUUUGAAAAAAAAUUUGAGAUCAAAGAUUUUGGAAAAAUAAAAUUUUUCCUUGGUUUACAAAUUGAGCAUUUGAAAAGUGGAAUUUUGUCCACCAAACUGCUUAUACCCGGAAGGUAUUAAAGCGAUUUUAUAUGGAUAAGUCACAUACAUUAAGUAUUCCAAUGGUCAGAUCAUUAGAUCCUAAUAAGGACCCUUUUAGACCGCGAGAGGAAGAUGAAGAGAUACUUGGUCCUAAAGUACCAUAUCUCAGUGCAAUUGGUGCACUACUGUAUCUUGCUAAUUGUACAAGACUUGAUAUAUCAUUUACAAUAAAUUUAUUAGCAAGAUUUAUUUCCUCGCCCACAAGACGACAUUGGAAUGGUAUUAAACAUAUUUUUCGUUAUCUUUAAGGAACAAAUUGAUCUUGGCUUAUUUUAUUCAAAUAAAUCUAAACUUGAAUUGCUUGGUUAUGUUGAUGUUGGAUAUUUAUCUGAUUUGCAUAAAGCAAGAUCUCAGACUGGUUAUCUAUUUACAUAUGGAGGUACAACCAUUUCUUGGCGAUCUAGAAAGCAAUUAUUAGCCGCCACUUCAUCGAAUCAUGCUAAAAUAAUAGCAAUUCAUGAGGCUAGUCGAGAAUGUGUUUCGUUAAGAUCAAUGACCUACUAUAUCCGGAAGAGUUGUGGGUUAUCCUCUGAAAAAGAAAAUCCUCCGACUAUAUUUUAUGAAGAUAAUGCAGCUUGUAUAGCUCAAUUGAAAGGAGAAUAUAUUAAAGGAGAUAGAACGAAAUAUAUUUCACCAAAAUUCUUUUUUACUCAUGAUUUACAAAAGAAUGGUGAAAUUGUUGUGCAACAAAUCCGAUCAGAUAAUAAUUUGAUAGAUUUAUUUACUAAUGUAUUGCCGACUGCAAUAUUUGAGAAAUUGGUGAAGAAUAUUGGAAUGCGACGACUAUAAAAUCUCAAAUGAUAUUUGCAUCAGGGGGAGAAAUCAAUACACAAGAAUAGUGUACUCUUUUUUUUUCACUAGAGUUUUUGUCCCGUUGGAUUUUUUCCUAGUAAGGUUUUAAUAAGACAUAUUCUUUGUGUAAUUAAUAUCCAAUGGGGAGUGUUAUGAAAUAACUAAAAGUGUGGAUGUCCAUUUGUAUUCUCAAGAAGAUCAAUUCAUAAUUCAUUGCUCCCAAGAGAAUUAAUUCAUAAUUUAUUGCUACAUUAUGUAAAGGAAUUACAUUGGAUGAUCGGUUUCAAUCCAUAAGAGCUAUUCAUGUAUUGGAUGAACCAUUUCAUAUGGCUAUUCAUGUUCUUGUAGUAACGAGUGUUUAAUAGAAUUGAUGUACCUUUAAUUUUGUAGUACCUAUAUAUAGAUGUACCUUAGCUGAUAGGUUGCAAUUUUAUCAUUUAUUUUAUAAUUAAUUUCUCCUAUUACCUGACUUGAUGUGGAUUAAUUGCGGGAUUCUACUCACUUUUAGUAUUUUGCAUUUAUUUCAGGGAGUAGAGCGAAAAUAUAAUAACAGGUGCUAAUUUGACAAAAAAAGAGUCCAAGGCACAGAGCUUAUCCCGGGGGCAUUAUUGGCAAAGGAAGACUUUUGCCCAUUUUGGUAAUUUCAAAAGAAGAGAGCAGGGCAGAGGCCUCUAUUUUACUGGAGGCUGGAGCGCCGCACAAAGGGAGCUUCUUCUUCCUUCGGAGGCUCCGUCCUCUCCGCAAGGGGGCUGCCGCACACAGCAGCCAUUAGAAUAGGAGCAAUUGAUAUAUGACAGAGAAUGAGCACUAGCACCAGGGAGUUGCCUUUGUUGACUUUUCUUCCCUUUUAGUUCUUAGUAGUUGUUUUACCUUCCUCGUACGUAGGACCUUUAGCAUAGUUUCCUUUUGACUUUCCCUUGAGUCUUGGGUGGAUGUCUCCUGCGCAUGUCAGGAGCAAUUGAAGGUCUCGGUCACUUUCUGUAUUCUUCCAUCAACUGAGCGAACUGAGCUCCCUUGGUCAAGGGCAAUGGCUGCGGCUUCCUCUCCAACUUUGUGUGGGAUUCGUUCACCAGGAAUGAACUAAUUUUUCUUUUCUAGUCAAGGAACAACGGAGGUCUUGGUUGGCCUAAAUUUGUGAGAUCGAAUUAGUUUUUAUUUAUUUCCAUUAUUCACUGGUAUUUGUCUAUCUUCUGCUUUAUGUUCAUAUGGUUGUUUUAUUAUUCGAUUAUCCAGGGCCCGGAUACUAGAUUAAUUCAAUAACCUGAAGCCAAUUAGGAUAGUUAAAUCCGUAAUUGUUUAAUUAUUCUAAACUGCUGGCAACUGGCAUGAUUGGGUUUGUGUCAGGGGGAUAAACAUGCUAACUUAAAGAGACCCUCGUAGCGUGUUGAUUGGUUAGAAUUAGGCUCUUCUAAUUAUUCAUGCAAUUAGGGAAUUGAACUUCUAUGGUCGUACCUAGGGUUAUUUCCUGAUUAGAGAAAUAGUCAACGGUCGUACCUUGGCUAUCGACAAAUUGAGGAAGAGUUGGUUGUUUAUCGCGUGUAUGGCAACUAUAACUAAUUUAUCAGAUAGUAACUGGAAUAAUCCUUGCAUCUGUGAUCGAAUUAAGUGAACCAUCUCCGAAGUUGUCUCUUGGCUAGAGUUCGUCAAUUAUUAUUUUUAUUGUGAUAAUUAGUUAUUUGAGUUGUAGUUAUUUUAUUUUAUUUAUUCCAAGUAAUUUAGUUACUCUCAUUUUCAAAAACCCCCCAUAUCUGGAACUUGAGAAGAAAUUAAAUUAUCCCCAGUCCCUGUGGAUUCGACCCUGCUCACCGCUAUAUACAGAAUUUGUAUUUUAUUUGAGCAGGUAUUUAUUAUUGCACAGGUUCGGCACCUGUCAAUUUUUUGCUACAUUAUGUAAAGGAAUUACAUUGGAUGAUCGGUUUCAAUCCAUAAGAGCUAUUCAUGUAUUGGAUGAACCAUUUCAUAUGGCUAUUCAUGUUCUUGUAGUAACGAGUGUUUAAUAGAAUUGAUGUACCUUUAAUUUUGUAGUACCUAUAUAUAGAUGUACCUUAGCACCUCUUGGGUGUACUUUUUGAUUAGUUGGAAUAAUAAAAAAAUCAUUCUCCAUUUCUGUACUUCUUUCUCUAAUAUUUCAAUUCCUAUCACAGUAGUUAUUUUUUUUUAGCUUUACAACAUUACUUAAAUAAGAGAGUUAUUGGACUAUAUGUUUAUUGACCUCUACUAACUUAUUUAAGGUCAUUUCAUAUCACUAUCCAAAGAAGAAUUAAGGUCAUUUCAUAUCACUAUCCAAAGAACAAUUCUUGGGCGCUAACAUUUUUCUUACAUGACUAUUAAUGAAAGUUGACCCAAAUCUCUCUGUCUCUCUCUUUCUUUCAAUUCUUAGGACUGAUGCCAAUUCUUACCAUUUAGAAAGAAAAAUUAGAUUGUUUAUAUAUAUGAUGAGUUCCCUCUAAGUCAUGGUUAAGAAAAAUUCUUAGUUAAACGCAGUUUUAUGAAAUGUGAAUUUCCUUUUCUUUGUCUUUAUUCAUUAGUAUUAUUGGGGUUAUUGUAUUAUGAUUGCAAUGCACAGAUACAUGGAUUUUUGACAUUUUUUCUUUUUAAUUGACUCUGACUAUGCCUCAAACUCGAGACAUCAAACCUGGACACGACUUUUGUCCAAAAUGCUUGUAAAAAUUCAGAAGAAUAAUUUUGGACCUUAUUAUUUGAUAAUGGUACAAUUAUGAGAGUCAUUCCAGGUUAAUUAUCAAACUUGGAACUUGAAAAUAAUGUCGACAUCAUGUCAUUAUUAUUUUUUAGUUUCAUAGAAAAAUGAAGUAUUCUCCAACUCGACAUUAUCAUAGUAUUUUCAAUUGGCAGCUCAUGUGAGAAAGACAAGAAAUUCACAAUCAACUGGCCAAGAGAGUGCCAACAAAGAAAGCACUAAAUGGCUUAAACAAUGCAUGCAAAUUUGCUUGGCACUUAAACAAUAGACACCUAAAUCAACCAUGUCACUGUCUUGCCAAAAAAGGGCAUUAAAGUAAAAACAACUCAUGCCUACCACAGGUAACAAACUUCAGCACCUUCACUUCACUACCAUGUCAGCAACAACAUUUGCAAAUUUCCAAGGAAGUCCACGCACUAAAGGUGCCCAUGCCCUUAGGGGACCUCAGGUUAGUGUUCUUAACCUCAACUCCUGUCUUUCUGUUCUUAGGAAAUAUUGAAAUUAAACGUUAUAACUAAUCCUGAUUUCCUUGUGCUAUAUUUGUACACAAUUUGGCAACAAGGGUAAAAAAAAAUAAAAAUAAAAAGGUUUAUCUGCAAACUGUAGUUCGGCCUGGCUCUUUUUUUUUUUUUUUUUUUUGGGGAUAAGAUCAUCUCAGCACCCGCAGACCCCGUCAUGUAUCAAUAUUUCUGUACUUAGCAUUGGCUUCUUCUCGCCUGAAGAACACACGAACCACCGAAAUAGAUGGUGCAUGAAAGUGCACUUAACCCUUUUAAUUUUUCAAAACAAUCUUUUAGAAAAAAUAAUAAAAACUUUUUGAAUUUAAUUUUAGAGAAGAAGAAUUUUAAAAUUUUUUGAAUUUAAUCUUAGAGAAGAAGAAGUUUAAAAUGUACUUUAAUUUUCACAACUGAUGAUGAAAAUAGCAAAAUGUACACGGAUAGUGACAAAAGUGGGAUCACGGGCAGGAAAUCCUGAAGGUUGCGUGCAUUUUACACACGGCAUAAUUCUGUUUGUAUAUAGUGUAAUUUACUUUUUACAACGUGUAAUUUUAAAACAAAAUUUUGUAAGUCUCACACAUUUUAUUAAAAAUAAGGUACAAGAUGAAAUUUGGACCAUAUAAUUUUUUUUAAUCAAAUCUUGACCGUGAACUGCUCAGAAACGGUUUACCUGAUGACCGUCCCUGGUCCAAACCCGACAAAGGUGCCAUCUUAUCCUUUUACUGACUGGCCCGUUUUCCAAUGAGAGGGCCCAGAAGGGGUGCCUCUGCUUCAUAGUUUAUCCAUAUUGAUAUUUCUUUUCUGUCCCCCUAACUAUUAAAUGUGAAAGGUUGCCCACCAAAUUUGACGAAACCGUUUAUCCUAAUUGAUUAUUAUCAAUAGGGCAUAACUUUAAUAUUCUUCUUCCAACCCUUUCUGGUGAUUCCUGCAACUCCAGCCGUCCGUCAAUGACCAUAAAGCACCAUUAACCGACAACUAACUAACCACUAUUAAUCUAUUCUCAAAUUUUAAUGAAAUUGCACAAUCUAUUCUCAAAUCAAAUUUGAACAACAUUUUAUAGUCGAUAACUUUGAAACUUGAUAAAAAAGUCUGUUUAAACUCGGUUUAGUAAAUAAACAAAUCAAGUUUGAACAAAAUUUUAAACUCAUUAAAAUAAUUAAACACGUUUGAAUAUUAGGGUAUUCGAUUUAAUUAGACACGUUUGUAUCCCUAAUUAAAGCAUGCACUUUUAUAAGUUUAGGAAUCAACAUUAUACAUUUAAUAGCUAGCUAGAGGGUCAAAAAGUUAAUUGCCUUAAAUUCUUUUAGCAGCCAUAAGGUACAGUUGGAGGGAUUCCCUUGAAAUUGGUUAGAUUCUUCUAUGUGACUAAAGAAUUUCGGGUGUGACGCAUUACUAGUCCUACCCUAAAAAAAAAUGGUAUUACUAGUCCUUUUUUUCUUUUUUGGCGUGCCCCCGUCGUGGGAUGUGGGGAGGGGAGUCUGUGCGAGAAUUCUAGGUCGGGGUACAAGGAGCCAAAGUUCACCUUAUUCAAAGUAAACAACCGUCCAUCUCAGUUGUCGACUUUCCUGUCGAUUGCGUAUAUAUAUAUAUUACUAUCUUUUACCAUGACUUUAGAGGAUAGCUAAUUUUGCUUGCUAUUAAAUAAUAAUUUCGGUAGUCUAUAAAUACUCUUGUUCCUCACCGCUCCUAGCACCACAUAAUUCCUUCAAGAACAGCCAAAACCUUCUUGAAAUCCCUCUUUUUCCUUCUAGUUCAUUUCCAAGAAACAAAUGGCCCCUGUCACUUCCAGUUAUGAGGUCACCUCCUCAAUCCCUCCUGCAAGGUUGUUCAAGGCCACCAUCCUCGAAGAGAAGCAUCUUCACAAGAUCUUGCCACAGGGCGUUAAGAGUGUCGAAAUCCUUGAAGGAGAUGGUGGAGUUGGCACAAUUAAGUUGACCACAUUUGUUGACGGUAAGAUAAUCAAUACAAAGUGAUUAUUUUCACACAUUUGAAGUCUUCAAAUUUUUCUCUUUUUUUCCCUUUUAUUUGGGAAAAACUAAUGACUUUUUUUUUUUGGUUGGGUUAAAUAUUUAGGUGGCGAGCAUAAGACUGCCAAACAGAGAGUUGAUGGAAUUGACAAAGAAAAAUUUACAUACAGCUAUACUGUACUUGAAGCUGAUGGAUUUAACGAUGUAAUCGAGAAAAUCUGUUGUGUCAUCAAAUUUGAACCCUCUGCUGAUGGAGGUUCAAUCUGCAAAACCACUAACACAUACUACCCCAAAGGUGGUGCUCAGAUCAGUGAGGAACACCUCAAGGGAGGAAAAGAGAUGGGUUUGGGAAUGGUUAAGGCUGUUGAGGCAUACCUCCAUGCAAAUCCUACUGCCUACAACUAAUUAUAAUGAAUGCUACUGCAAGGACUCUUCGACAUAUUUUCUUCAAGAUUGAAGUAUAAACUGAGGGUGUCUGUUUCCUUUUUUGCUUGGUUUGCUUAAGCUGUUUGGUUAAGUUAUUCGCAGCAAGAGAAUAAAAUAAUUCAUUUGCUGUUUUUAGAUAUGAAUUCAUGACUGUCAGUAGUCUAUAAAUACACUUAUUGCUCACCACUCUUUGCACCGCAAAAUCUUUUCAAGAUCCAUCAAACCCUCCUGUUCUUGAUCUUUCUCCAUUUGUGAAAAAACAAAUUAAAGCAUCAUGGCCCCUAUCACUUGUAGUGCUGAGAUGACCUCCCCAAUGCCUCCUGCAAGGUUGUUCAAGGCCGCCAUCCUUGAUGACCACCUUCUUCCCAAGAUCAUGCCACAGGCUAUUAAAAGUGGAAAUUCUUGAAGGAGAUGGUGGAGUUUGAACCAUUAAGUUGAGCACAUUUGGUGACGGUUAGAUGUUAUAUUAAAUGUAGAACCCAAAUUUUAAGGAUCUAAUAAUAAUCAAUUAAUAAUAAUCAAUGCGUGCAGGGUUACAGAAUUGGAGGGAUAAAACAAAUACUCAAAUAAAUGUGGAAGAAAAGAAAAUAAUAAAUUCAACUCACAAAAUUAUUGAAAUUUCAAACAAUGAAAAAAAUCAUACCUUAAUAAAUUCAGUUGGUUUUAAUAAUAAUCAAAGCAUACAAGGUUAAAGAAUUAAAAGGAUAAAACAAACACUCAAAAUAUAUGUGGGAGAGAAGAAAAUAAUAAAUUCAACACACAAUAUUAUUGAAAUCUCAAACAAUGAAAAAAGUCACACCAUAAUAGAAAAUCUUGCAAAUUCUUCUAGAUUCUUUCUCUUGAGAAACCAACCUAAAUAAUGUUCUAUUUAUAAUCUACCAAACUUGUUAGGAAAGAAACCACUUGCAUAAGAAAUUACCAAAUAAAACAGAAAUUCCUAAAUCACACAACUACUAAAAACAUAACUCAAAUAAAACUAAAAAAUAAAUAAAUUUUUCUUGGCUUAGUUUAAUUUGUUAACAUUGCCUCCCUUAAACCAAACUAUCCAUUGAGAUAUGUUCAACACCAUCUCGAGUAACAAUUUCUAUGCAAAUCUAUGUUGUAGUAUACUUGACAUGAAACUCUAACUUGUUACCAGUUAUUAAUUUCAUCUUUACACGUAACAGUGGACGUACUAUGUAUUUUGUAAAAAAUUUCUCAACAAUUUCUUCUUGAUCAAAGUACUCAUUUAUACAAACCCAUUCAUCACCAGAAUCAUCAUAUUUACCACCAAUGUAAGUUCCUAAAAAUACAAAAUCAUUGCUUGCUUUCUCGCUAAAAUUAUCAUAACCAAAUAAUUUAAAAUAGCCACUACUACAAUCAUCCAAAAUUUUCAUACUGUCAGUCAACUCUUUUGGAGUAAAAUAUUUUUCAACUAUAAUGACAUCCAUAUCUAUCAAAUCAAGCAUUCUCCCAUCACUUUGAAGAAAGUCCGAACCAACGAAUUUUUCAACAACAAUUUCAUGAUCUCUUCUCUUAUCAAGUCAAAAUUUUCUUCUUCUUUUGUCAAAUUACCAUAUUAUUGUUUCAACAAAUUCAUUACUUCUAAUUUCUCCAAACAAGGUACGCAAAUCAAAACUAUCAAUUGAUUCAAAAUUUUCGAUAUCACCCAUAUUAUCAACAAAUCUAUCAUUUUUAAAAUCCACAAACCAAUACCAACAACUAGACUUCGGUUUGAAAGCAUAAUUUCUCUCAAUCGUGUGCAAAACAAAGUAAAUAUCCUUCCAAAAUCUCUAAAGUAUUUUAGUAUGACCAAUAAAGGUUUUAUAAAUACUUUCUGCCAUUAUUUUACACAUCACUUGAAAGAAUAAUUGUGCUUUUUUUCUUAAAAACAUGUUUUGCCAACUUACUUGCAUCAACCCAACAAAGAAUAUCAUCCAAAUUACAUUGUUUGAGAUAUUUUUCCACUGUUAAAAUUCAGCCAAAAUAUGUAUGUCUAUUUGUGUUUAUAGGAGUCAAUAUGGAAAAUUUUUCACCAUCAAUCAGAUCUUUAUAAUAUUCCAUUAUUUAACAAUUUGUAUACCUGAAUAAAUUUUUUUCCUCCAUCCUGUCAUGUUUUCUUGGCCUCCUUGGUUGACUGACCAAAUUAUUGUUGUAUGUAUACCCAUGCUUGUCAAACCUCAUUCGUGUACACUCGUAAGGAGUGGUUUUGAGCUUACUGUGAAUGCUUAAUACCAAGAAGUAGAAGAGAGAAUGCAUAAGAGAGAAUUAACUUGGCUAAAGAAUUGGGAAGCAAUUUAGGGAUUUUUUAAGAAAUUAAUUCUCCAACCGCCACUUUUGGAAAUUUCUAUCAACAACUAGUUACCAAAACACUAGGACAGCGAUCCGUCUCUAUUUUACUCUUCAAGUCUUCGCCGGGGAAGCAACCCGGCCUUGCGAGACUAUAAUGAAUAGGCACUUGCCUUCUGUUUUUACUUUUUUUUUGUUCAAAGACUAUAAUGCCCUUAUUAUUUGACUGCGCAUCUCGCAAGAUAAUGCUUUCCAUCAAAAUUAACUGUUGGGUUUGACAGAAGCGCCACGAAUAUUCUAUUUUAUUAGAUCCAGAGUCAAAAUUUUACCGUUAAUUGUUAGAGGGUUAAAACUUUAUCUGGAAAGGAGUUGGAGGGCCAUUGGAACUCUUUUUCCAAAAAAAAAAAAAAGUCACUUUUGUCAUUUGUCCAAGAACAGUUCUGGGGCCAUCUCGACAGUAUAUAUUUUUCUUACAUGCCAAGACAAUUAAUGAAAAUUGACCAAUAACACACGCACACACACACACACACACACACACUCUCUCUCUCUCUCUCUCUCUCUCUCGGUUGCUGCCAAGUCUUUCCAUUGAAAAAGGAAAAUUCAUAUUGUUUACAUAGAUAAAUUACCUCCAGUCCGUGGAAUGUCUUGAUGUUAGGUGAGUUCUAAUAUUUUGGUAUCAUCUAGAGGUGGCAAAUCAACCCACUUAACUAAAUUUACCCAUAUCCGCCCAUGAAUAGAUGGGUAUGGAUAUCUUAAAUUUUUGUAUAUGAGUAUAAAUGGGUUACCCAAUAAUACCCAUUUAAAUGGGUAACCCAUCAAACCCAAUUAACCCAUUUAGAAUUCUCUUCCCCUCAAGUCUCUUCUUUUCCCCCACCUUUUUUUUUUUCAAAUUUUUCAUUUUGUCAUGAUGUUAACUACUUUUGUUUUAUUAUUAUUAUUUGUUGGUUUUAUCUUAUUAUUUUAUUUUCUCUUAGUUUGUUAACUUACUCAUUUUUUACCAUUACCAAUUUAUGAUAAAUUUUAGCCUAUUUUCUUAUCUUUAUAAAAUGAAAUUUUAAAUUUAUAUAUGAAAAAAAUGUUAGGGGUUCAAAAAUUUUGGAUUAAGUUUUUAUAUUAAUUUUUAUAGUACUUAGUUCAAAAUUUUAUAUUCUUAUUAUUCAAUUAUUAAAUAAUAGGUAAUUUUGUGACAUAGAGUAUAAAUGAAAAAAAAUUGGUAAUUAAGUUUAUUGAACAUUAUAAGUAAAUAUUUAAAACUAAUGAUGGGUAUAAAGAGUGAUAUAAAUUGAUAACUUAGUUUGCAAAAAUGAAUUUAAAUGAGUUUGCAAAAAGUUAAAAUAAAUGGGUUAUAAAUGGGUAAUUGGGUUACCCAAUUCAUUUUUUGACUUGCCUAUUUAUACCCAUAUAAUUAAAUGGGUAUAAAUGAGUUGACUCACUUAUACCCAUUACCCAUUUUACCCAACUCAAACCCGCCCAAGUCACCCAUUUUGACACCUUUAGUAUCAUCUAAUGUUCAUUUGUGAAAGAUUGAGAAAUGAUAAAGAGCAAAACACCAAUUUAUUCCAUAAAUUAUUUUGCUAAAAUCAAAAUAGUCCAUAAAUUUUCUUUUGGCCAAAUUUUUGUCAUGAACUUUCAGAAACGGUUGCAGGGGAUUUCAUCCGGAUUGCUUGUGCAGUUGAGUAACUAUACAGAAAUUCUUUUUGGGAUGCUGAGUAUCUUAGGAUGGGUACAAUGAUCGCUUAGAUCAGUAGAGAUGAUUGAUGAUGUAGUAGGGGAAGAUUCCCUUUAUAAAGCUGAUUUUCUCAUGAUUAAUAAGAAUAUAAAUGUUACCAAAUUUUCUUUUCAAAUGUGUAACGAAAAUAUUGGCCAUGAUCAGCAAGACCUCCUUAAUUAUAAAAGUUUCUUGAAUGUCAUCAUCCAAUUUGUUUAAGCGAGGAUUUUUAAAUGCUAUCUUUAAGCAAAUUGAUUUUUGUAUUAUAGAUACUUACUACUAUUACUUCAUACCUAGCUACAAACCUCAUGUAUGUUUUAGUUUUAAUCCAGAACAAAUCAGGGCCACGGGCCACCUUGCACAUAGCGAGAGUGGAAAAAUAAAACUACACAAUUGCUUUUUUGAAGCCAGUGACUCAACUGAUUUUGCGCUCGGCAAUUCAUCCGAUUUUCAUUAAAAGGGCCCUAAGAGGCCAUUGGCGUUUUGGGCCUGUGAAAAUUUGGAUGAUUUGGUGUGUCCAAUGCAUGUGUAAGCACAAAUUUUGUUGUCUAAAAUAAAAGACAAGAAAACUUACAUAAAUAUCAAAUUUAUUAAAUUAAAUAACAAGAGGGUUACAAUAUUUGAAAAUUUUUGAAUCAAAGAAAUUAAUCUCCUAAUUUUUAUCUUCAAAAGGCUUUAAUCGGAAGGCCAAAAAGGCUUGUUCUCCGAUCAAGAGGGUGUUUUCUAUGAUUUCUAUGUAAAAAACGGCUGCUUUGAUGAUGACGUUAAUAUUUGAAUCUUUAAAUCUUCAACGCCGAUGGAAGGAGGAUUUAUUUAACUUAAUUUGGAUUUGGAUUUGAAUUUGAGGGAAAAAGCUCUCAAGAGAAUUUGACAAAGUUACUUUGAAAUUUAGGAAUUUUAAUGUAUUUUUGCCUUGAGGGAAGACCUUUAUUUAGAGUCAACAUAUGCAAGCUAUGUCUUCAAGAGAAUCCUUCAAAACCAUCUUGCGUUUGGGUAACUUGUACCUUAAGAAACCCAUUUAACUUGGAGUUAAAUAGUCGGCCGACCCAAAUAGUCAAUUGUGAAUUAACAAAUCAAUUAAAUCACUUUAAUUUAAAUGGGCAUCACAUUUUUUAUUUGAUUUAAUAGCUCAUAUAACAUUGGCUCAAUUUGUCAAUCCAAAACAUAAUGAACUUCUAUAAUUUAAUUUAAUUUAAUAAAAAUCAAUUUAAUUUACUUAAUCUUGCCUAAAAAUAAAUUAAAUAAAUUUUCGUUGUCUAUGUCCCCACUUCAAAACUUGGCAAGGCAUUGCAUGUUUAUUUGAAUUAACUUAAAACUUCUUAAUACGAUUCAUCUAAGCACCUUUAUAUAUAUAUAUAUAUAUAUAUAUAUAUAUAUAUAUAUAUUUAUUUAUUUAUUUAUAUAUAGAGGUACAGAAGACAUGUCUUUGUCUUGAAACUGUGACAAACAGGACACUUAAGACAAGGGCGUGUGAAGACUAUCGCACUAUUUGAGCGAAAAAAACCUGUUUUGCACGUAUAUUUUGAAGGUAAUCAUCUUUAUUGUCUUUUGACAACUUCAUGUUGGUCGAGUAUCAGAUAUUCACCAAAUUUUGUUGAAAUUUGUCAAAACUUGAUUUGUUUCCAAUUUGGAGAAAAAAAAAGAUUUUUUUCUUCGUUUCUGCAAUUUUCCAGGUCACUCUUUCCUAUCAACAUGUUACGAUUCAGAAAUUGAGACAAAUCUUGUACAUAGGAAUCUUUUUUAACAGCUGAUGGUUGGAAUUUAGCAGACACCUUGAAGUCAAAGAAGGCAAAUAGCAUUCCAAUAGCAUUAUUUGGUUGCAUGCCAUAUCCAAGAUUUUCACUAGUAAGCCACCAUUUUCUUGCUUUUGAUUGUUAUUCAUUCUCUGUUGCGCAAUUUUAUUUUCGCACAAUCUAUUUUUUUCGUUGAAUUUUCUCUUUUGCAAAACAGCGACCACCAAGGAAAGACAGAAAGAUUUUUUUGUUUUUGUUUUUGUUUUUGUUUUUGUUUUUUUUUUUAUGGUUGCACCUUGUGUUGGCACCCCUUAUUUGAAGCAAGUUGAUGUUCCAGUUGUGUUGGGGAUUUUAGGGCCAUAGCUCUUAGAACUCAAAAUACUAAUGUAAUUUCCGCACUCCAUGACAUUUACUUCUUGUCAAUGCCAAACUCUCCUCUUUUUUUUUGUGAUAUGAAAGGAAGAUCUCUCGUUGCAACAUAUAUGGUGGACACUCAAUUUGAAAGAAGGUGCAACCACCAACUUGCACGAGAGCCAUAUCAUGGUUUGAGGAGUAUAAUGAAAAUGAUGCAACUGCAAACUCUUAUGAGAGCCAUAUCAUGGUUGAGAAGUACAAUGAAGAUAGUGCAAUCAAAAAUUUGAAAAAGGUGCAAUCGCAAACUCCCAUGAGAGCCUAUCAUGGAUUGAGGAGUACAACGAAGAAUGUGCCACAAAAAGUUGAAAAAUGUGCAAUCGCAAACUCGCACGAGAGCCUAUCAUGGUUUGAGGAGUACAAUGAAGAAGGUGCAACUACCCACUUCAAUGAGAGCUUACCAAAACUCGAGAAGCCCUUUCAUUUAACUUCACAUUGACUAUUUAUUACUUCUCUCACUGUCUUCGAUCACACCAUUGUAAUCAAAUUUUUUUCUCUUGCUUUUGGUCCUAACGAAAUGGUGAUGGUCAAGGAAGUUACAUCUUCAAACAAAAGGCACCUCCUUAUCACUAAUAGCCAUGAUGACUCUGCUGACAAAGGAACGAAAUUAUUGGUGCAUCCCUCUAUACAAGAAAUUUACUCUGGUGAUUGGUUUUCUCACAAGUAUUCCGAAUUAAAGGAUUGGUCACUAAAAUUUUCUCAAGAUGAUGGUACGAAAGUUCACUCCUUGAAAUUCCUUAUCAUAAUAAGGAGCCAAGGACAAUUGGCAGGCGAAUCCUAGAUGAGACUAAGGGUGCAAACGAGGCAAGUCGAAUCGAGUUUUGAAGUUAUUGAGUCGAGUUACACUUAUUUAUAUGCGAGCUCGAGUUCGAGGUCGAAAAAUAGAGCUCGAACUCGGCUCGAUGUAGGAAAAGGAAAACUCGAGAUCGACUCGCUUAUGGCUCGCGAGUUUAGCUCGAAUUCUGGCUCGCGAGCAGCUCGAGUUUUGCUAGAUUUUCUGGCUCGCAUGAAGCUCGAAGUCAGCUCGAUUCUAGCUCGUUAGGAGCUCCAGUUCGAACUCGAAAACAGCUCGAUUUUCUGGAAAUUUAUGCAAGAAAACAGAAUUUUUGUCCGCAUAUUUUUGAUAAAAUUUGAGCAUGAUAACAAUAAGUUUUCACAUAUUCUUGAUCUUGAGGCCUACAAAUUAUGCACUAAUACAAUCAUAAAUGUCCAAAUGUCCACUAAUACAAAUUAUCCAAAUGUCCACAAAUGUCCACUAAUACAAAUUAUCCAAAUGUCCACAAGAAGUCUGAAGAAUACCAGCUUGUUGUCCACAAAAACCAAGGCAUGACAUGAAGCGAGAAUUUCCUGACUGCGUCCUGGAACUUUACUCAUUUCUGUCUCUAAUUCCUCAUGAUCAGUUAGUCCACCAACAUUGAACAAUAUGGAUCAGGAAUGGGGAAAAAUCACUUUCUAACACUCAAGAUCACAUACAACUCAUAUCCAACAAAUAUCCUGAAGUUUCAUGAGUAUAAUCACAUUAAAAGAGAAAAGGAUACUGACAAGCAUGCUAAUCAAACUCAAGCAGAAAAGGUACUUUCUCCUUGCCGUCUCCGACAUCCCAGCCAGCAAAUGGCUGGGGUUCGUGACAGCUGUUUGGGUCCAAUCCAUCUCCGGCAACAACUAUACCUUCUCCAAUUACUCCGACGCCCUCAAAUCACUCAUGGCCCUCACUCAGCUCCAACUCAACAACCUCUCCGUCGCCAAUUGAUGUCAUUAAAGCAGAAAAUCGGCCUGAUGGCCUCCACCAGCUGCCAUCCCUAAUCCAAGAAGGUCGAGUGUAGUAUGCUUAGGACCAAAUACAGAUGGAGUUCCCAACAUCAGUUCCUUCAAGCUAGACCCACCAUCACACGGCAGCCCUAGUCCUAGGCCUACUACCAAUGAUGCACUAUCAGACUCAAUUGCCCUCCCACUCUUCGCCCGGAAAGACAGUGGUGAAAAGAGGUAAGGAGGUGGCGGCAAAGAGCGACGGGUUAGCCAAAGUUAGAAGAUCCUCUUUUUCUAGAUUUGCAAGUUUCCUACUCUAGAGACAAAAAUGUCCUUGAUAUUUGGUCGUGCAUCUUACAAGAUAAUGCUUUCCGUCAAUUUUAACCGUUGGAUUUGACGGAAGGGCCAUGAAUAUGCUAUUUUAUUAGAUCGAGAGCCAAAAUUUUACCGUUAAUUGUUGGAGGGUUAAAACUUUAUCUGGAAAAGAGUUGGAGGGCCAUUGGAACUCUUUUUCCAAAAAAAAAAAGUCACUUUUGUCAUUUGUCCGAGAACAGUUCAGGGGCCAUCUCGACAGUAUAUAUUUUUCUUACAUGCCAAGACAAUUAAUGAAAAUUGACCAAUAACACACGCACACACACGCGCACGCACACACACACACACUCUCUCUCUCUCGGUUGCUGCCAAGUCUUUCCACUGAAAAGGAAAAUUCAUAUUGUUUACAUAGAUAAAUUACCUCCAGUCCGUGGAAUGUCUUGAUGUUAGGUGAGUUCCAAUAUUUUGGUAUCAUCUAAUGUUCAUUUGUGAAAGAUUGAGAAAUGAUAAAGAGCAAAACACCAAUUUAUUCCAUAAAUUAUUUUGCUAAAAUCAAAAUAGUCCAUAAAUUUUCUUUUGGCCAAAUUUUUGUCAUGAACUUUCAGAAACGGUUGCUUCCUGCAACCGUUGGUGAGGGAUUUCAUCCGGAUUGCUUGUGCAGUUGAGUAACUAUACAGAAAUUCUUUUUGGGAUGCUGAGUAUCUUAGGGUGGGUACAAUGAUCGCUUAGAUCAGUAGAGAUGAUUGAUGAUGUAGUAGGGGAAGAUUCCCUUUAUAAAGCUGAUUUUCUCAUGAUUAAUAAGAAUAUAAAUGUUACCAAAUUUUCUUUUCAAAUGUGUAACGAAAAUAUUGGCCAUGAUCAGCAAGACCUCCUUAAUUAUAAAAGUUUCUUGAAUGUCAUCAUCCAAUUUGUUUAAGCGAGGAUUUUUAAAUGCUAUCUUUAAGCAAAUUGAUUUUUGUAUUAUAGAUACUUACUACUAUUACUUCAUACCUAGCUACAAACCUCAUGUAUGUUUUAAUCCAGAACAAAUCAGGGCCAUGGGCCACCUUGCACAUAGCGAGAGUGGAAAAAUAAAACUACACAAUUGCUUUUUUGAAGCCAGUGACUCAACUGAUUUUGCGCUCGGCAAUUCAUCCGAUUUUCAUUAAAAGGGCCCUAAGAGGCCAUUGGCGUUUUGGGCCUGUGAAAAUUUGGAUGAUUUGGUGUGUCCAAUGCAUGUGUAAGCACAAAUUUUGUUGUCUAAAAUAAAAGACAAGAAAACUUACAUAAAUAUCAAAUUUAUUAAAUUAAAUAACAAGAGGGUUACAAUAUUUGAAAAUUUUUGAAUCAAAGAAAUUAAUCUCCUAAUUUUUAUCUUCAAAAGGCUUUAAUCGGAAGGCCAAAAAGGCUUGUUCUCCGAUCAAGAGGGUGUUUUCUAUGAUUUCUAUGUAAAAAACGGCUGCUUUGAUGAUGACGUUAAUAUUUGAAUCUUUAAAUCUUCAACGCCGAUGGAAGGAGGAUUUAUUUAACUUAAUUUGGAUUUGGAUUUGAAUUUGAGGGAUAAAGCUCUCGACAGAAUUUGACAAAGUUACUUUGAAAUUUAGGAAUUUUAAUGUAUUUUUGCCUUGAGGGAAGACCUUUAUUUAGAGUCAACUUAUGCAAGCUAUGUCUUCAAGAGAAUCCUUCAAAACCAUCUUGCGUUUGGGUAACUUGUACCUUAAGAAACCCAUUUAACUUGGAGUUAAAUAGUGGUCCGACCCAAAUAGUCAAUUGUGAAUUAACAAAUCAAUUAAAUCACUUUAAUUUAAAUGGGCAUCAUAUUUUUUAUUUGAUUAAAUAGCUCAUAUAACAUUGGCUCAAUUUGUCAAUCCAAAACAUAAUGAACUUCUAUAAUUUAAUUCAAUUUAACUAAGAUCAAUUUAAUUUACUUAAUCUUGACUAAAAAUAAAUUAAAUAAAUUUUCGUUGUCUAUGUCCCCACUUCAAAACUUGGCGAGGCAUUGCAUGUUAAUUGCUGGAGGCAAGACUUGAAGUAUUAAUUUUACUGCUGACCUAAAGUCAAACUAAAUUAAAGACUUCAAGCGUUCGGCAUACGGGUGAUCCACUUUUUUUUUUUUUUUUUUUUUUUCCUUUUUCUUUGGGAAGAGAAUGGUCCACAUCAAUUGUAGAAUUGCACCUCAAAGUCCAAUUGAAUAGGCAACGGUCACGGGUCUUCACUUUCACCUACUACUUGAAUAAAGCCUUGAAGCUCUUGAAUUUUCCAACUCUUAAUUUAGUCGUCAAUGGAAGUGCAGCCCCACAAUAUUAGACCGCAACUUUGACCCGUAGAAUUAGAAACCCCCGUUUGAUUAUGCGAUGUGGGCUCCUGCGCAGAAACUCCCAUAUGCUGAAAUUUGGAGUUUGCUCGUACGUUUCUGACCACCAAAUCUUGUUUUGGCACUUGGCAAUAUGGAAUUUGCUGAGUUUCAACGCUUCCUAAACGGAACUUUAAUGUAUUUCCAAAACCAAUGUUUGCAACUUCUGAAUAAGAAUAUGCCAAAUUUUAAGAGCUUCCCAAAUUGACUUCCAGCCAUUGAAAUUAUUCUUGGGAACCAAAUUCAAAUGAUUUCCAAAAAGUUAAACGAUAAUCACUGAAUUUAGUAUCUGUCCAAAACUUAAAACUUCUUAAUAUGAUUCAUCUAAGCACCUUUAUAUAUAUAUAUAUAUAUAUAUAUAUAUAUAUAUAUAUAGGUACAGAAGACAUGUCUUUGUCUUGAAACUGUGACAAACAGGACAUUUAUGACAAGGGCGUGUGAAGACUACCACGCUAUUUGAGGGAAAAAAAACCUGUUUGACACGUAUAUCUUGAAGGUAAUCAUCUUUAUUGUCUUUUGACAACUUCAUGUUGGUCGAGUAUCAGAUAUUCACCAAAUUUUGUUGAAAUCUGUCAAAACUUGAUUUGUUUCUAAUUUGGAGAAAAAAAAAGAUUUUUUUCUUCGUUUCUGCAAUUUUCCAGGUCACUCUUUCCUCUCAACAUGUUACGAUUCAGAAAUUGAGACAAAUCUUGUACAUAGGAAUCUUUUUUAACAGCUGAUGGUUGGAAUUUAGCAGACACCUUGAAGUCAAAGAAGGCAACUAGCAUUCCAAUAGCAUUAUUUGGUUGCAUGCCAUAUCCAAGAUUUUCACUAGUAAGCCACCAUUUUCUUGCUUUUGAUUGUUAUUCUUUCUCUGUUGCACAAUUUUAUUUUCGCACAAUCCAUUUUUUUUCUUUGAAUUUUCUCUUUUGCAAAACAGAGACCACCAAGGAAAGACAGAAAGAUUUUUUGUUUUUGUUUUUGUUUUUGUUUUUGUUUUUGUUUUUUUUUUUUAUGGUUGCACCUUGUGUUGGCACCCCUUAUUUGAAGCAAGUUGAUGUUCCAGUUGUGUUGGGGAUUUUAGGGCCAUAGCUCUUAGAACUCAAAAUACUAAUGUAAUUUCCGCACUCCAUGACAUUUACUUCUUGUCAAUGCCAAACUCUCCUCUUUUUUUUUGUGAUAUGAAAGGAAGAUCUCUCGUUGCAACAUAUAUGGUGGACACUCAAUUUGAAAGAAGGUGCAACCACCAACUUGCACGAGAGCCAUAUCAUGGUUUGAGGAGUAUAAUGAAAAUGAUGCAACUGCAAACUCUUAUGAGAGCCAUAUCAUGGUUGAGAAGUACAAUGAAGAUAGUGCAAUCAAAAAUUUGAAAAAGGUGCAAUCGCAAACUCCCAUGAGAGCCUAUCAUGGAUUGAGGAGUACAACGAAGAAGGUGCCACAAAAUGUCGAAAAAUGUGCAAUCGCAAACUUGCACGAGAGCCUAUCAUGGUUUGAGGAGUACAAUGAAGAAAGUGCAACUACCCACUUCAAUGAGAGCUUACCAAAACUCGAGAAGCCCUUUCAUUUAACUUCACAUUGACUAUUUAUUACUUCUCUCACUGUCUUCGAUCACACCAUUGUAAUCAAAUUUUUUUCUCUUGCUUUUAUUGCAAGUUGGUCCUAACGAAAUGGUGAUGGUCAAGGAAGUUACAUCUUCAAACAAAAGGUACCUCCUUAUCACUAAUAGCCAUGAUGACUCUGCUGACAAAGGAAUGAAAUUAUUGGUGCAUCCCUCUAUACAAGAAACUUACUCUGGUGAUUGGUUUUCUCACAAAUAUUCCGAAUUAAAGGAUUGGUCACUAAAAUUUUCUCAAGAUGAUGGUACAAAAGUUCACUCCUUGAAAUUCCUUAUCAUAAUAAGGAGCCAAGGACAAUUGGCAGGCGAAUCAUAGAUGAAGACACACACUGGGGUGCUUCCUUGAGAUUUAGUGAUGAAUUUGGUUAUAUCGAGAAUUAUUAGGAGCGGUUGGAAGAUAUUUUUGGAAAAAACAAACAAGUGUUUCGUGAAAAUUACUUGUUCGAUGUCUUAUAUGCUUCGCUUCUCAUAUAUAACAAAAAUUCUCAUGUGUUUAGAGCAUUUUGCGAGACAUGGUGCCUAAACACUAAUACCUUGCAUAUGUCAAUUGGAGAAUUAUCUCUCUCACUUUGGGAUCUGUGUAAAUUAGAAGGACUUCCAAUCAUCGGAUACAUCUAUGAAGAGGCGAUCCCAUGUGUAGAGGAACUAACUGGAGUUAAUGAAAAGAAGUUGAUGCAUAUUCCGCAAAAUUGUGAGUAUUUGUUCGCGGCUCUGCACUACCUUCAACAUGGAGAAUACUACAAUUAUGGAGUUUCUGCUAGCCAAUAGAUUAACUUUUGGUUUAAAGGCAACGUGAGGUAUUCAAAACCAAAACAGAGAAGGAUAAAGAGAGCAUCUAGUGCUUAAGCAACCCAAAAUCCAGAUGGAAAGAUUGGACAACCACGUAAUUUUUAAUUCAAGACAAUGGCAUAUAUGAUACCAUUGGAGACAAGUCUCACUUACGAGAAGAGACUUAUCUUGUAGCAUUUAUAUCUUGUUGACUCUACGUUUUUACUCUACCAGAUGAGGACGUCUAUUAUAUUAGACUAUCUACCUUCAAAAUGGCUAGCAUGAUGGCUGUCGGAUAUAAAACUUGCCUUGCUGUUCCUGUCUUGCUGAGUAUCUAUCACGGAUUCAAUAAAAUUUCAAAUUCAUCUACUCCAAGGUGUGCGCGUGCAUUUUUUUCAAUGCACUACGUGUAUGCUUAACUGGCGAGUUAUUUCUCUACCCAUUAUUCAACUCCGAAUAUCAUGCCUGGACCAACAAUUAUCAAUUAUUCUGGAAAGGGUGUGCACAAUAUUUUGAUGAAAAUAGUGCUUGCGACCUCAUUCAUCAAGGAGACAAAGUAACUUGGGGGACAACUUCUCUUGUGAAGAAUUAAAAUGAAUUUUUUGUUGAUGAUGGCAAGUUAGCGAACCCAGAACUGAUUUAUUUCGUAAGUGCUUGCUCAAAUUAUUUAGUCUUACAUGCUGAAGGAGAUUUUCUUGUUGAGCCAUACAGGUUUGCAAGGCAAUUCGAAUUUUAUCAAAACACCCCACAAGAACUGGGAGCAGAUGUUCAUUCUACAAAUUAUGACUUGAGUCAAAUACUUUGACACAUUGCUAUUCAUAAUAAGACAGAGUCGAAGGUAUUUUUUUCUAGUUACCCCUUGAAUGCUAACAAGCAUAUAUCUCCAGAUUUUCAAACAUGAUGUUUUGAUUAAGAGUGUCCAACCAAAUUUGAAACAGAAGAAAUCGAAAGGAAAGAAACUUGCAAAUUUGAAUAAUCCUGUCAAGGUUGGCAGUAAUCUUGAGGCGAAACAGAAAAUCACCAAGACUGUGAGGAUUGAGGAGAAAGCAUUGCAGAGCUCCAGCAACUCGUGAAAUUCUAAUUUUCAAUGAAGAAUUUUCGAAUGGUAAUUCAUUUUGUCUUCCUUCAAUAAUUGUAAAAGCCACCAAUCAUGAGUCUCGCAAUUCCAAUGAAAAGAAGAGGAGCAACUCUUUUGAUGAGAAGGAUGAGCAAUCUACUAGUACAGACUAGCACUAGAAGCAUAAGAAAUUCAAGGUAAUGACUUUCUCUUUGGAUGAUAUUGUUUUAGACCCUAAAGAAAUGUUUAAGGACAUUCUGGACAAAUAUGUGCUUGGUAUAAGUCAUGCCAAUAUUAUAAGAACAUUCUCUUGCCUUCUUUAGUUUGGCAUUUGAAAUUUACUUAUCAAUUUCAUAUUCAUGAUAUGUCUCAUAACAUUUUCCAUGUAGUUGAAUGAUCAAAACUUGAUUUUUAUUAAUGAUGGGAAAUCAAGCUAAGAAUUCGUUGAAGGACCCACUAUAUUUUAACUUUUAACAAAACAAGUGGUCAAUUCUACUCAAUAAAAGGGCAUCAUUGAAAAUUUCAAAAAGGCAGUGCAUGAUGAAAAUUCAGUUCAACAAAUCAUGCUACAGAAGAAAGAACAUGUGACUUCACCGGAGAAAAAAAAGUUCAAAAUUUUUGAUCCACAACCGUAGCCAAGGGCACCUCAAGUGUCUGAAUUUUGCCCCCAAACUAUGAUCUUAACAUGUCAUCGAGAUUACAUUCAAAUGCUCUGAAAUAAUUUGAAGGUGCUGAUAUCCGAAACAAUCCUGGAACGCAUUUCUGCUCUUAAGAUGAAAGCAAAUGAAAUCAUGGAGGAAAUGCAAAGUUUCAAUGCUAUGAAUAUUUCAAACUUGUAAGGCCUUUUAAAGCCUUUCUUUACAAAACCAAUUCGUUCUGUCGUAAUAAAGUCUUCUUUCUCAAAUAAAAUUUCAAUUGAAUCAUAUAAUGAGUUGUUUUCUAUAGCUACCCAACAUCUUAGAGAUGCUCAGAGUAAGGAGAAAUAAUAACUUAAAAAGUUCUCAACGUACAUGUUAAAAUUUAAAGAGAUUGACCAUGAGAAAAUAGAGCUAAGGAAAUGACUUGAAUCUAUGGGUACUCAUAGGAUGGAAAUACUUUCACUGCUACGAAAGAAACAAGACGAGCUUACCUAAAUGCAAGGCAAGAUGAUCAACUUAUGAAAUGAAAUUCAAAAGAUUGAAGAUUCCCUAUCUUUACUUGUUGAGGAGAGCCAAACAUUGAACAAAAUGCAAGCACUACUUGAAAGCAACUGCAAAAAACUGUCAUCAUUUGAACUUUAGAAUUAGUUACAAUCUUUUACUUUUUUCAAAUUUUAUUUAUUGUCACUUGCCUAUAUUAUAUAGCCACAGGCAUAAUUAAUUUUUUAUUUCACCAUGAAUCAUGAUUUUUUUUAUUUCAUGAUACUCUUGUGGAUAUUUCUUACUUUCCUUUGUUGCUUUCAUUAACCACCAUUUUAGACUAUCGAUUGCAAAAUAAACAAUUCAACAUUUGCAUAAUUUUAAUCACAUUUGAAGAGGUAAUUGUCUACAUAAUUUGAUAAUUUGAACAAUAUACUUUCAGGUGUAUGUUGCAAAGUAAUUUGAAUUGCCCUAAAGAGAAAAACUUUUUAUCUUUUAUUGCAUGACAUCUUUAUGGGGUUGUAACUGAAUUUCGAAGUUACCAUCUAAACUGUUUGCAUAUCCCAAAAGGGAAUAAAUUCACGUGUAGUUCCUACCAUCCACAGUUUAAUUUCUUGCAGGUCAGGAGUAUCUAUUUGCUUAUCACUUUAAACUUGGUGGAGUGUUUUAGUAGUUUAACCAUAUACUACACUAUUGGUGAUUGCCGUCCACAGUUUUAACUCAUAUGGACCAAGAGCAACAUGCAGUUUAGACUCAUGUGUCAUGAAACAACAUGCAGUUUAGGGUCAUGCGUCAUGUUGUCCUUUAUUUUUUUUAUGGCGUGUAUAAUCUUAAGAAAUUUUCAUUUAUGGGUCAACAUUUACACCAUUUUGUCAACUACCUUGUACGCGUUAUUUGUAUAAACAUUUCGGAUAAUAUAUGGUCCAUCCUAUUCGGAGACAAAUUUAUCUUUAGCAUGAUGAGUCAUAACUAUUGAUUUUCGAACGGCGAACACUAUGUCACCAAUUUGAAAGGAAUGAUGAUGAUAGCUUUAGAAAGGUAAGCCUGGUAGCAUUCAAGAUUUUGUUGAGUUUCCAAUUCCUUUUCAUCUAAAGUUUCUAAUUCUUUAAGAAGCAAGCAAAUAUUUUCUUUCUCCAUGAGCCCUUAUUGGAUGGCAAUUCUCAGAGAAAGAAUUUGUUGUUCAAGAAGCAAGACAACUUCUACACCAUAAACUAAGGCAUCAGGGGUGGCUUGCAUUGGAAUUCGAUAUGUGGUGCGAUAAACGCAGAGAGUUUCACCUAUCAUUUCAUGCCAAUCCUUCUUUGAUCUGGCCAUCACUUUUUUCAACAAGUUGCAUAGAGUUUUAUUGAAUGCCUAAACAAUACUGUUGGCAGGGACAUUAUACAUAAAGGACUUGCGAUGUUUGAAUUUAAAUUUCUCACACAACCUAUCCAUUAAACAGUUGAAGAAGGGUUUCCAUUAUCAGUGAUAAUGUGUUAGAGAAUUUCAUAACGAUAAAUAAUAUUUACACGAAUGAAAUUCACCAUAUCUUCUUUUCUCACUUGAGUGGUAUAGUUUCAUCCCAUUUAGAGAAGUAGUUGGUUGUAACCAAUAUAUAUAGAUGUUGUCCGAACGACUUAGGCAAUGGUCCAACAACAUUAAGGUCCCAGGCAUCAAAAGGCUAAGAAGUAAUAGUCAAAUGUAAUAGUUCGGGUAAUUGAUGAAUGUAAUUUGCAUAGAAUUGACAAGUUUGACACCUUUGAGCGUAUUCCAUACAAUCUUUGACCAUAGUAAGGCAAUAAUAGCCCAUCAUUUUAAUCCAAAAAUGCAACUUGGGACCGAAUUGGUGAGUUUGACAUAUUUCAAAAUGUGCCUCUUGCAUAGCUUGAUAUUCAUUAUCUUCAUUCAGACAGCGCAAGAAUACACUUUCAAAUGAUUUUUGAUAUAGCGUAUCUUUGUAUAAGAUGAAACGGGGGCACGACAAUAGAUAUCAAAUCUUUUAUGUUGCUCCUUAGGUACCUUUUGAUACUUGAUAUAAUUGAUAACAGGUUGUCUCCAAUCUUCUUUAUCAACUUCAUAAGUUGAGACGACAUAAGCAUCACCUUCCUCAAUAUUUUCAUUAUCAAAUAAUGGUGAAACUAUCCACUUUUGAUACACACGAACUUGUAUUUCAUAAUUUGACAUAGUCAGAGAAGAAGCAAGCAUAGCUAAUGCAUGAGUUUGCUUAUUUUCUCUUUUAGGGACAUGUUCAAUACUUGUACCUUCAAGUUACCUUAUAAGUUGCGUUGCAUUCUUGUGAUAUGGAAUUAAUUUAAAUUUUUUAACAUCAUAAUUUCCCAAGGGUUGACUAACGACUAAUUGUGAGUUGCCAUAGAUUUGAAACUCAAAUUAUUUCAUGUCAAUAGUUAUUUCAAGUCCGAAUAUGAGGGUUUGAUACUUAACGACAUUAUUUGAACAACGUUGAUUUAGAAUAAAGGAGUAUGGCAAAACUUCUUCAUCAGAUGUUGUAAAUACAAUUUUGACUCCAACUCCAUGACGAUGAGUAGCAGAUUUCAAUAAGGAGUACAUUUUUAUUUGGUAGAUCAUCACUUAACUCCCAUUCAACAAGUAUCGGGUGAUCAAUAAGAAAAUCUACUAGUACUUAACCCUUCACGGCCUUUUGGAAUACAUAAAUAAUUUUAAAUUAUUGUAACUAGGUACCAUUUAGCUAGACAGUUGGAUAGUGUUGGUCUACUUAUCACGUAUUUUAUGAAGUUUGCCUUGAAGAUGAGUCUCACACUGUGUGCUUGAAAGUAGUGUUUUAACUUCUAUAUUAUAAAAAUAAGAGUUAAACACAACUUUUCAAUCGGUGAGUAGUUUAAUUUAUUAGAGAUCAUCAUAAAUAAUAAAGGGCAGUUUCUUUCACUUCAUUAUUUUCUUGUGCAACCAAUACCUCCACUAAACGUUCUUGGGUAACAAUGUAAAGAAUUAAUGGCUUUCUAUAAAUAGGUUCAAUCAAGACAGAUGCCUUCAUGAGAUAAGAUUUAAUGCUAUUGAAUGUAUUGCUGUACGCUUCAUUCCAUUGGAAUGGUACACCUUUCUUCAUAAGGUGAUUAAAUGGUUGACACCUUUCAAUUAAAUUUGAGAUAAACCUCCACAGAUAGGUUAAUCGCUCUUGAAGGCUUUUUAUUUCUGAAUAUUGCGAGAUUCAGGCAUUCUCAAUAUAGCAUCAAUGUUGACUCGAUCAAUUUUAAUACCUCGAUGACAGACCACAAAAUCAAGAAACUUUCCUGAUGUAACUCUAAAUGCACAUUUGAGAGGAUUCAAUUUGAGUUGAUAUAUUUUCAACCGAUCAAAAUUUUGUUUCAAAUCCUCCAAGUGAUUAUUUCUUUUUUUUUUUAUUUAACAACCAAAUCGUCCAUAUAACAUUUAAUAUUUUUAUGAAGCAUGUCAUCAAAAAUAUUUUACAUUAAUCUUUGAUAUGUAGUUUUGAUAUUUUCAAACUAAAGGGUAUUAUGUUAUAACAAUAAAUACCCUUAGGAGUAUGAAAUCUAGUGAGUUAUUUAUCCUCAGGUGUUAUUCGAAUUUGAUUAUAGUUAGAAAAGCUAUCCAUAAACGACAAACCCUCAGACCCAAUAAUUGCAUUAAUCAUGAGUUUGGUGAUGGGUAGAGAAAAAUCAUCUUUGGAACAAGCACUGUUAAGAUCCCUAAAAUUUACGUAGAUGUGAAUUUGCCUGUUCUUCUUUCGUACAGACAUGAUAUUUGAAAUUCAUGUGAAAGACUUAAAUUCAUGAAUAAAUCCAUCAUCAGUGAAUUUAUUGAUUUCAACUUCGAUCAAAUAGACCAAAUCGGGUCUAAAUCACCAUUGUACUUACAUUACAGGUCGAACUCCCUUUUUAAUAGGUAAAUGGUGGACUGCUACUUUUGAAUUUAGACCUAACAUUUCUUUAUAAGUUCAUGUAAAAAUAUCUUGAUACUCUUGCAAGAACUCAACAUAUGUCUUCUCUUCAUCAGAAUUCAAUAAAGCACUUACCUAUAUAGGAUAUGGGUCCUGUGAAGUGCCAAAAUUGAUUUUUUAAGUCAUCUACAGUGGCCUUAACGCCUUGUUCAAAUUCAGGUGAAGCAUCUUCAACAUCUUCUUCUUCUCCAAGGGAAUUAUUAUCAAAUAUGGUUAUAUGGUUGUAUGAAACAAUACUUUCUUCAUCAUCUUCCUUUGAUCUUGUUUCUACAAUAGUAUGCUCUCUAACCUUUAGUUCAGUCCCAUAAAUUAUUAUAAGAUUUGUACAUCUCCUCAUUCUUGAGAGAAUAAUGUUACCAAACUUAUAAAUGUUAUGGGGACAAUCAAAAGAUUCUUCAAAUUCUUUCAGUGAUUUUGUCAUUCUCCAUUUAUUCUUAUGAGAAUUUUGAGACUUUUAUUUUCUUUGUGGUCCUAGUCUUUUGAAGACGAAUACUCACAGAGCCUUAUCCCUAUUUUUAUGAAAAACGUGUGACUUAUUGACUAUUUUAGAAGAUUCAUCUCUUAUAGCAAUAAAUUGACUACCAGCUCUAUUGAUUUUGAUGCGAAUUGGUACAGGUGAAAAAUAGUAAAGAUCAGAUUUAGAAUUCUUAACAGCAUAUCCUUUCCCUUUCAACAUCUUUUGAGUAAGGUUUAACCCAUAAGUCACAUCGCUAGUGGCUUGAGGAGGUUUCAAUACCAGAGAUUUCUUGAAAUCAUACCCAAUUUUGGUAAGAAGUUUAUAAGCAAUAUAAUCAAAAGCUUCAUUAAUUCUUGACGUCAGUAGCAUAUCUUGCUUGAUGUCAAACUCUUUAUUAAGAUGAUCAAACCCUUUGAUUAAAGGCGAUGGUAUAUUCGUAGCAUCAAGUUUAGCCACAGGAAGAGUUAAUCCUUUCAGAGUUUUGUGUGGAAUUGAAGAUGGUUGUCCUUGUCCCAAUCUUGACUUGGGAGGGUAUCCGAAGACAACUGAUUUAUUUUUUAACAAUGAGGCAUCAAUUUUUUUAUGAACUACCUCUUUUGAUUUUGGAAUCACCACUUUCUUCGUUUUGCACUUGAUGAUUCGAGAUCUUGGAUUUUAACCAUAGAUGGAGAUUGUUUAAACUCAUUCUUUAUGUUAUACUGAUUUAUUUUUUAACAAUGAGGCAUCAAUUUCUUUCUGAACUACCUCUUUUGAUUUUGGAAUCACCACUUUCUUCCUUUUGCACUUGAUGAUUCGAGAUCUUGGAUUUUAACCACAGAUGGAGAUUGUUUAAACUCAUUCUUUAUGUUAUAUUUUUGGAUAUAAAAUUUAGCAUUAGCGAUAUGCAUUUCUACUUCAGUGUAAAGAUUAUAAUCAGUUUUCACACUUUUUACCACUCCAUUUCGGUAAUACUUGAAAUAUUGGUGAAGAGUUGAAAGCACAACCCCAUUUUCAUGAAUCCAGGGUCUUCCCAGUAGCAUAUUAUUUAUUGUUUUAGUAUCUAUUACAUACAGUUGUGCUUUAGACAAUAUAUCAUCGAUAACUAUCUCUAAAUUUAACGAUCCAAUAGCUCUUUGCCCUCCUUGAUUAAGGUCUUGUAUUAUUAGUCAGCUUAUUGGAAAGUUUAUCAAUGGAGAUGCCAAAUUCCUUUAGAGUUUUUAAGACAAGGCUAUUGACAGCAGAACCUCUCUCUAUCAAAAUUUUAUUCACAUUUUAUUUUUUAGCAUAAACAGUUACAAACAAAGGACGGUUAUGUGAUGUUGACCCAAAAAACAAGUUGAUAGGGUGUUAAUUGUUAGUAAUUUUAUUGCUAUUUUUCCCCUUUGUCCUUGCCAAAUAUUAUUUUAAUUGUUAACAUAUACUUAUUUUUGGUAUUUGGACCAAUCUACAGGAAGUGGAACUGACAAAUGCUAAAAAGGAGAUUUUAUUGAGAAAAAUCCUUCACAUGCUAGAGCCUCCAGCGGAUAUACAAGUUGGGCCCACAUGGUGUUACAAAUUCGGUUGCUGAUGGGGAGCUCUUAUUAUUGGGAGUUGACUUGUACGUGUAGGAGUCCUCCUACCAAGAGGAAACAAGAAAAAAGGAAUUCGGCAGAGGCCCAUCUUUUGUACUUAGCUUUCUCAAUUCGGUAGGGACCAUGGACUAGAGGUUUUCAUUAGUGAUUGGACUUUAAAAGGGAAGAAACGUAUAGAGGCUUGGGGAUUAUUAUGAUUAGCGUAGCUUUAGUUUUAGUGGUUAGCUAGCGUUUCCUUUUCAUGCGCACGAGGUGCUCGACAAUAUUUUUCAACGGGAAAAAAAAACAUCUUUUACUCUUGCUUUCUAGUGAAAAACUUGAUGCCUUUGCAAUCAAUUAAUUUGCGUGGAGAUUUAAUUAUGCGGCGUGGCUAAGCCUUUUAUCUAGUCAAGGAUCAACUCGACGGCGCAGUCCCAAAUAUCUGUGAGAUCUAAUUAGUUUUCACGCGUUUCUUAAUUUGUUAAUAUUUGCAUGUUGCCUAUUUGAAUUUCCACGGGAUUAUUUUGUUAAUUGGAUAUCAAGAGCCCGAUGUUCAAUGUGACUUAUUAAUUUCCUGCCAAAUUAGUCAAUUAAAUCCGUAAUUGUUUGAUUGAUUAAUAUUAGUAGCAACUGACAUGUUUACACACUAGAAGAACGUGCAAUCUAAUUUAAAUAACCCUCGUAGCGUGUUAUUGAUUGGGAUUAGAUUUUUCUAGUUAUUAAUGCAAUUGGGAAAUUAAUUCAUACAGUUGUACCUAGGAGUAUUUUCUGGUUAGGAGUAAUCAUUGGUCGUACCUUGGUUAUCAAUAAAUUAAGGAAAAAUUGGUCGUUAGAAUUCGUCGGCGACUAUAACUAGCCUAUUAAUAAAUUAAGUGAACCUCCCUUGCAUCAAUGAUCGGGUAAGUGGACUGUGUCUGAGUAGUUGUAUUCUUAACUAAAAUUUAUCUAUUCUUGAUUUAAUUCCUGCCUAUAUUCGUGCUAAUUAAUUAUUUAUUUUUAGUGAAUUGCUUAAUUAUUUUUAGUUUUACUCCAAUAAAAUUCCUCUUUACCAAUUGGAAUCUCAAAAAGACAAAUAUUCUCAGUCCCUGAAGAGACGACCCUACUUGCCAUUGUCUACUAUUUAGUAAGUUUUGUCAACUAAUUAAUUUUGGUAUAUCGGAUUAAGCAAAUUUUUCGGGAACAGGGUGAAUUAAGUAACCUAUUGCACAUCUAGAGUCCCGGCUCUAAUAUCUAGGAUUCAUUAUUGACUGCUUUUAGUGGUAUUUAGGUUAUUAUUAUUAUUAUUGCACAGUCUCGACACCUGUCAAUUUUUGGCGUCGCUGCCAGGGACUGGCGUUAAUUAUUUGUUUUUUUAAGUUCAAUUUUGUUCUAAUUUUCUGGUAUUUUUUCUAAUUUAUGCAUCAUUCUUCUCGUAUAAGUGAAUUAAUUUUCGACCCUGAAGUAGAGAAGAUCGCGCGUAGAACGAGAAAAGAAACCAGACAAUUCAGAGAAGAGCACUCAAGUACUACAUCUCAGAGACUUGAGCCGGAAGUUGAACCGGCAAAUUCGUUUGGUAACACUUCGAGUGACUCGGAUCAAGAGAAACUCACCAUGGCAAAUGCACAAACAUUAAGGGAGUUGGCUGCUUCUAAUUUAAAUCAACAGCCUUUAUGCAUUGCUUUCCCAAGUUUGAAUGAUGACACCCUCUUUGAACUAAAAUCUGGUCUAAUUCAUCUCUUGCCAUCUUUUCAUGGUUUACCAGGUAAGGAGCCCUACAAACAUUUACAAGAGUUUGAUGUUGUUUGCAACAGUAUGAAACCCCCGGGAAUCACAGAAAAGCUGAUAAAAAUGAGGGCCCUCCCCUUCUCUUUGAAGGAUUCAGCGAAAGAUUGGCUAUACUACCUACCACCAGGUAGUAUCACCACGUGGGACCAGUUGAAAAAAAAAUUCUUAGACAAAUAUUUUCCUGCGUCUCGGGCCGCCAGCUUAAGGAAAGAGAUAUGCGGUAUCAAACAACACCCAGGCGAGUCUCUCUAUGAGUACUGCGAGAGGUUUAAGAAGCUGUGUAUCAAAUGCCCUCAGCAUCAGAUAAGUGAGCAACUGCUCAUCCAAUAUUUCUAUGAGGGACUACUCUUCACGGACUGGAGCAUAAUCGAUGUUGCCAGUAAAGGGGCGCUAGUGAACAAGACCCCUCGAAAAUCUUGGGAGUUGAUUGAGGGGAUGGCUGAAAAUUCACAGCAGUUUGGUGGGCAGUGGCGAUGGCGAAGGCUCGCGGGGGUGGAAGAGCCGUUGGCGCGACUGGGGCCGCGCGGCUGCUAGAAUCUAGUUGCAUCAGUCUCUGUGGUCCUUGGGAUCUUUGAUUCGGCUGUUCCAUAGCUUGUCGAUCCUUUGUUGCAUCCCUGUAGGCAUUGUAAUUCCUGUUGAUUGAGUUGUUAUCUAGUUUUUGAGGGCACCUCUAGUAGUUCCUUUAUUUGGGAGUUAUUUGGGGUUGAGUUGGGAGUUAUUGGCCAAUUGAUUCCUAUUUUGCUUUCGUCCUGUUUCUGGUACUGUAUGGUUUUGAUUGGGGGGUGUCUCAGUGGUUUGGGUUGCCUGUUUGAAUUGGUUCUUACCUGUGUGUGCACCAGUGGUACUGGUUGUGUUGGGAAUCCGUGACUGAUUUGUUCUUGUCCAAUUGAAGCCAUUUUGAGCAAUUUUGGGGUGAACACAUUUUGUCAUUAAUUGUUGAUUGUUGGGGGACGUUUUUGGUAACACUUGAGUUGAUAGGGUGUUAAUUAUUGGUUAUUUUAUUAUUAAUCUCCCUUUUUAUUCUUGCCAAAUAUUGCUUAAUUGUUAAUAUUUACUCAUAUUUGGUAUCUGGACUUAAUUUCAGGAAUGAAGUAGAAAACUACCAAAAAGGAGGGAUUUUAUGGAGAAUAUGGAAACUUCUAAGGGCUUCAAUUCUUGGGCCCUUGAAUUGGUGGGGACCACAAGCUAGUGAAAGGCAUUUAGUCAUUUGAGCUCUUCAAAAGAAGCUACGUAUAUUUUAUUUUAUUUUAUUUUAUUUAUUUUAUUUAUCUCUUAUUUUUUUUUAUAUAGUUUAUGGCUUCUAACACUUCGUAUUUUGGUGAUAUACUGGAUUUUGUUUCCGGGAAAGGCAAUGUGACUAGUUUUUUUGCUAAGUCUGCAUAUGCAGAGGCACUAAACUCUAUUAGAGAAAGAAUGGCUGCUGCAACCUGUAAAAUUUGUUAUACCAGGGAUCAUUCAACCGGUAUGUGCCCCGAAUAUCAAGAUAAUCUGAGUGUCCCAUUCGAUAAUUAUGGAGAAUUUUCACCCUGGUCUCAAACGUGGUACGACCCUAAUCCAAACGGGUAUGAUCAAGGAUGGUGGGAUAACUCCAAUUAUAAUUAUACAACGGGACCAAUGAAUUUUCAGCAGUAUGAGUCUCAAGAAUCGUCAUCUAUGUCAGGUAUGUCUCUUGAAGAAAUAGUUGAACCAAUAGCUACUAACACAUACCAAUUCCAACAGGAGACACAAAUGAGGAAUGAGAUGAUGAAGGAUGCAAUGAGUUAUCUGGCAGAUCAACUAUGUCUAUUGACAUCCAGAAUAAAUCGAUGGGCUUCUCAAAUGGAAGAACUGCCCUCGAAAACCAUUGUUGACCUAGAAGAAAAUGAGAGUGCAAUUUGCUUGACUAGUGAUGAGGAGAUGCAAGAGUGUCAAAAUGAAAAAUCUACAGAUACAGUUGAAAAAGAAGCCGAAAAGGAAGAAAUGGAACCCCAACCGCAACCCAUUCAAGUGAAAGAAUCCAGUGAAGAAUCAUCAAAUGUGGUGACACCACCUCCAUUCCCUAACCCGCAUUUUUUCUAACUCUUACUCUAUGAUUUCUGUUAAUGAGAUUGAUUUUGUUAUACCGGAAGUUUUUGAGUCUCAUGGCAGAAAUAAGUUGAGAGUGGAGAUGGCGAAAUAUCUUGAACCGUUGAAUGCUCUUGAUGGAGGAAUGGAUGAAGAAUUGCGAUCAAUGCUUGAUUAUGUGGCGCCAUCAACUAGUCCAUGGAAGCCCGUGGUUCGUGUGCUCAAAGAUUACUCCAUCUAUGAGGGUUACCAGGAUCAUAUUGAAGAUGAAGCAUUGAAGCGAGCUACAAGAUUUUAUCCUCCAUGAACAAGACAUAACAAUGUCUAGCCAAAGACAUUAAAGAAAGGCGUUUUUUGGGAGGCAACCCAAAUAUUGAUUUUAUUAUUUUUAGUUGUUCAAUUCUUUCGUUCUGUUGUUUCUCAUUUGGAUAGUAGUUGGUCUUGAUAUUUUUCUCCACUGUGAUCAGGAAGUGAAAUCUUGGCGUGCCCACGCGGUGUUUAGGUCUCCUGAGAUCAGAGGACGAACACCAAUCUUGGCGUGCCCACGCGGUGUUUGGGUCUCCUGAGGUCAGUGAAUGUUUUGUAAUCUUGGCAUGCCCACGCGGUGUUUGACGACCCAAAACAUGAAAAAAAAAAAGUUUCAAAAUUUCACAUUGAGAAAAUUCAAAAAUUCAAAAGGCAUUUUUCUUUUUCUUCAAAAAUUCAAAUUUUGGAAUUUCAAAUUCAGGAAAAAAUUUGAAAAAAAAACAUUGAGAAAAAAAAACCCAAAAAGAAAAAAUUAAGAUUCAAAAAAAAAAAAAAACUAUUUUUUUUUCUCUCUUUUUCUUUUUCUCUUUUCUUUUUCUUUUUUCUUUUCUUCUUUUUUCUUUCUUUCUUCCUUCACCACCGCAGCAGCUACCCCACGCGACUCUCCUCCGCCUACCCCAGCGCACAGCCCAGGCCACGCGCUCCCUCCUUCCUGCAGCCCGUCGACGAAGCCCACCAGCCACCACCAGCAGGCCGCGGCUCCUUCCCCCUUGCGCGGCCACAGCUCGCGAACCACCUCUCCCACAGCGCGCGGCCUUCUCCCUUAUCUUUUGGCCGCGCGUCAUUGGCUCGCCCAAGGGCAGCCGCCGCCGCCGUUCCUCACAGUCAAGCAAUCGCAGGCCAAAGCCCACAACCCCAGCCGGCGCCGCCCGCAGCUCCUCGUGCGUGACAGCCGUGCGACGCCGCGCCUCCCUCAGCAACAGCUCCAAGCUCCAGCUCACUCGCAGACAGCCGCGCGAUUCUCAGCCAUUCACCUCGCGCGACCCCGAGCGCACAAUUCCGCGUGCCGCCAUCGAAGACCGCCGCGCCUCUCCCUCAGCCCGCCAUUGCGCCCCACCACUGUCCCGCUGUCUACGGUUGGGCACAAGGGAGGUACUUUUAAAAGAAAUUUUUAAUUUAAAUACGAGAAUGUCAAUUUCUAAAUUCUGGGGCUGUUUAGUGAUUGUUUGGAUUUCUUGGUGGAUUUGGUUGGCCGUCUGAUUAAAUUCUUCCUUGUGUGAUAACCAGUGGUACUGGUUGGGGUCUUUCGACCAUAGUUGUUGCUUAUAUUUGGUCAGAUGUCUGCUUGUUUGAAAGUUCACGUUCUUGUGAUUGAGUUGUUGCUCAAAUUCUGAUCUGCUGUUGCUAGAACUUUUGGUUGGUUGAGUUGUGCAAUUGACUGUCCAAUUGGAGACAGUUAUUGAGAUCUUAGGUGGGAUGGUGUCCAAUUGCUAAAAUUUGUUGCUUUGUUUCGUCACUCGCACUGCUCCUAGUUUGUUCGAGUGAAAUUGGUUGGAUGUUCUUUGCCCGUGGAGUGUAACUGUUACAUUGUUUGGGGCAGUUUUUUGGUAUUGAUUGAAUUGUUGGGCGUAAAUUGCUCAGGACUUUACAUUGCUAAUUUGGUGGGCCAUUUAUUGUGCAUUACCCUUUUGAAUUGGGAGAUACCUGUGCUUAUUGGGUUUUGACUACUUGAGAUUUCUGUUGCAUCUGGGGGAUAAAAUUUGAUGACUUUUGUGCCAGUUUAUUUGUUUGGAAAUUGUUGGGGGUAAUUUGGGAGUUACUUGUCAAUUGGGUCCCGUGUUACCCUCUACCAUUCAGUGGUACUGAUUGGUGUGUUUGGCUUUAUCACAUGUCUUGGGUUGGCCAUUUGAUUUCAAUUUUCCUUGUGCAUGCACCAGUGGUACUGGUGAGGGUAGUUUACAUAAUAUUUGUUACUCCUGUGUUAUUGGUUGCCUAAUCGACUACUGGGCAUUUGUGGUUGAAUUGUUUCUGUCCAACUUCUGAACUGUUGUUGCUGGAGUGCCAUUUUCUUGGGUCAAUUGCUGAUUUUAGCAAGUUGAAGUGGGUAAUUGACUGUCCAAUUGGAGACAGUUGUUACGAUAUUGGGUCCGAUUGUGUCUAAUUGCUGGAAGUUGUUGAUUUAUUAAGACACUAGCACAGUUCCUAGUUUGUUCGAGUUGCUGUUCUGUUGCAUUAUUGGGAGCUGUGCUCUAGUAUUGUGGCUACUUUCCUGCGUUUAUUUGUUGAAUUGGGAUAUGAAUGUGCCUAUUGCUCAUUUUGUUGCAUCUAAUUGACUUGCUUGGGGUAAUCUGCCCAUCAAUUUUAAUUACUCAAGUCUUUGGAGCAGUUGUUGCACAUUUGGACUACUUUGUUUCUAUAUCUGACUGAAUUGGGACCACAAGUGCUUAUCAAUUGCAUUUGCUAUAAGUAUUGGGGUAUUCGUAUAGAUUUUAGGAGCCUGCAUUGUGCAUUUUAUUGUUUGGGUUGCCUACUAGUUACCAUGGUGAAGCCACGAUCCUCCCCCAGGGGCCGAUGACUGGCUCCAACUUUCGAUGACAGUUGAGAGACUGGAGACUCGAGUGACCCACAUUGACAUCGACUUGCAUAACAUGGCGCAGAAUUUGGCAGCACUCCGCCCGACCCGCCCCUGUUUUGACAAUUUCAAGGAAGUACCGUUGCCCUUCUCUUUACUUUUGUUGUUGGUUUAUCACAUUGAGGGCAAUGUGUGAUUUAGGUGUGGGGGGAUCAGUUUGGGUGCUAGUAUUUUUAGUUUUUAGGUUCUAGAGGUUUUUCUUUUGUUUUAGUUUGAUAUUUAGUUCUUUUUUUUUCGUCUAUUUUAUUUUAUUAUUAUUAUUUUUUUUUCUUUCUCCUUUUUUCUAGUGGUCAGUCUUCAUAUGAAUACCAAGUUUGAUACUGGAUUGUUGUCUCUAAUUCUGCUAUUGCCAAGUCUUAUUAAUAAAAGGGUAUUAAGUUAAUGUGCUUGAGUUCAGGAAUAUCUCUUUGGUGAAUAUCGGUAAUUGCUUAACUUUUUCAAUUUUUGGUUAACUUUUCUAGGCAUAGGGAAUGAUUGUUGGCAUUUUUCAUGUGAAUUGGUUCAGUUAUUAAUUUUAGUUCUCCAUGUCUGGAAAUUUGAGGCUGGCUGCUGUUAAUCUUAUGUUGCUUUUAGAUAUCGUGUUAUAUGGUUGUAAAUAAGAGUUGACUGUACUCCGCUAGUGGUUACUACUGAGUAACCGGGGAUUUUCACCUAAAGUGUCGAUUCUCGCGUCAAAAGGUAGUAGUUGCUAUGAAUGCGUGGUCCUGUAGCGAUCGGAGCUGAGUAACCGGGCUCCUCCAUCUGAUAAAUGUUGGAGUUCGCGUCAAAAGGCUCUAAAUGGCUAGAGACUAAGUCUUUUGCUAUUCCCAAAAAAAAAAAGAAAAAAAACAAGUAAAGUUUGUGUUAGUAUUUAAAAAAAAAAAAAAGAAAGUCAGCUUGCCUAUUUGUGAUCUUAAUGUCGAGAUUUUGGUUAAUAGAUGGACCAUUUGCUGAUAAAUGUGAGCAACCAUUCCUUUUCCUUAGAUUAGUUUGCUUCAAAUUGAAGGAGUUGGUGGUUUAGAGGCUAAUCGGGGUGAUUUUUCUUGGAUGUUGACCUGUGAUGCUUGAUAUUUAUUUUUCUUGGACAUCUUGGCAAUACGGUAGUUGGAGUAACAGCCAUGGUCAACUUUUGGUGUUCAAUUGUUGUUCCCAUACUUGAGGGCAAACAUGAUUUAGGUGUGGGGGGAAUUGAUAGGGUGUUAAUUAUUGGUUAUUUUAUUAUUAAUCUCCCUUUUUAUCCUUGUCAAAUAUUGCUUAAUUGUUAAUAUUUACUCAUAUUUGGUAUCUGGAUUUAAUUUCAGGAAUGAAGUAGAAAACUACCAAAAAGGAGGGAUUUUAUGGAGAAUAUGGAAACUUCUAAGGGCUUCAAUUCUUGGGCCCUUGAAUUGGUGGGGACCACAAGCUAGUGAAAGGCAUUUAGUCAUUUGGGCUCUUCAAAAGAAGUUACAUAGAGAGACUUGGAGAAAGAAGUACUUUGGAGGCUUUGUCCAUAUGUGUGGGGACCACCUAGAUAGCUUUUAGUCAUCUUUCUUUUGUUGCUUUAAAAGGGGACAACGUACAGAAGCAAAGGACAUCUAGGGCUUUAGUUUUAGUUUUUUUAGUUUAGUUCUAGUUUCCUUUCUUUGGACUGGCCUCUGACACACGCCAGGUGUUCGACAAUAUUCCCCAACGGGAAGAUUUUCUCAUGAGGCGUGGUUAAGCUUUUCUAGUCAAGGGGACAACUGACGAUUUGGUUCGACAAUUACUGUGAGAUCGAAUCUGUUUUAAUUAUUUUCUUCAUUUAUUGGUAUUUAUAUGUUCCUUGAUUUUAAUUGCUAUGGCCUUGUGUAUGAUUGAUUAGUGCGCAAUAAUUAAUUAUUCAUAUAGGCUAUUUUUGCUAAAUAGGGGUAAUUGAAUCCGUAAUUGUUCGUUAUCUCUACCUCAGUAGCAACUGGCGUAAAUGGGUUUAUGUCAGGGGAGCAUAUGAUCUAAUUUAAACAAACCCUCGUAGCGUGUUUGUUGGUUAGGAUUGGGCCUUUCUAAUUAUUAAUGCAAUCUAGAAAUUAAAUCCUACGGUCGUACCUAGGGUUGUUUUUGGGUUAGAGAAAUAGCUAACGGUCGUACCUUAGCUAUCGAGAAAUUAAGGAAGGGUUGGUUGUUUAUCGCGUGCAUGACAACUAUAACUAAUCUAUUGCUAAAUGUUGGAAUUAUUUCUGCAUCAAUGAUCAGUGCAUGAACCAUUUCUGAUGUGUACCCUUGGCUAGAGUUUCCCCAAUCAUUUCUUUUAAUUAAUUAUUUUCUGCAGUUAAUUUAUUUAGUUAGCAUUUAAUCCAAAACCCCCCAUACUUUGGACUCUAGAAGAAACGAAUUAUCCCCAAUCCCUGUGGAUUCGACCCUACUCACCGCUAUAUACAAAAUCUGUAUCUUUAUUGAGUAGGUAUUUAUUAUUGUACAGGUUCGGCACCUGUCAAUUUUGGGGUGAACACAUUUUGUCAUUAAUUGUUGAUUGUUGGGGGACGUUUUUGGUAACACUUGAGUCUAUUUUGCUGAGUUCUGUUGAUAGAGCAGUUAUUUGGCACAUUUUACAGUGUUAUUUUGUCCUAAUUUUGGCUAUUCAUGGUGUUAAGAAUUGGAAUAUCACUCAUAUUUGAUGUUUGUGUGAAUUGUAGGUGGUCGGCAUUAAAAAUGACCUCUCAAGGCAAAUUUCUAGAAGACUCUUCGUCUCAGAGCAUGGCCACGCCAGAGAAGGUCGAUGUUACCGAAAAGCCGGACCCCGGUCCACGUGAACCGCAAGGAGCACGGGAUUAAAGCUCUAAAAGGCUAGCUUUUGUUUCAAUCAAUUGGGUCAGACAUGACUUGGCUCCUAGAGGCUUCAAUUAAAAAAGAAAAGAAAGGGCCAGACGUCGAGGGAAUGAGAAUGAGGAAACUAGGUCUACAUGGACCAGCUACACGGGAUAAAAACUCCAAUGAAGAGAAGAGCUCUGCUCCGCGUGGAUUUCCCCUGCGGCACUAUAUAAGACAACAAAAAAGGUGAUGCAGCGGAGAAUAUAGAUUAGCUUUGAUUUUCUUUUCGAGAGGGGUCAGGCGAUUGCAGACUUUUGUAGCUUUUCGGUUGUGACACUUGGACUCCUUGGCUUUUGUUUUGACUCUGCACAAUUUACGUUAGUUUUUGUUCGUACACUUGCGGCACCAAAGCAAAGACGAAGGCAGUGCCUUCUCUGUUGUUACUGCAAUUAAUUCCCCUUCCCCAAUUUUCGGCGAAUAAUUGAAUGAAUUCAAUUAAAUCACGCGGGAUUGACACGAUAAGGAGCGGCUAAUUUUCUCCUCUACCCAAAGGUUGACGCGAAGGCGCGGUCCAUAAUAUCUGUGAGAUCUAAUCGAAUUUUCAUUAUUUCUUUCAAUUUAUUGCUAUUCGUACGUUUCCUGAAUUAAUUGUUCAUGAGUAUUUUACUAAUUGAAUAUCAACGGCCGGGUAUUUGAUUUAAUUUAAUAGUCUACUGCCACGUUAAUUAAAUAGAAUCCGUAAUUGUUCAUUUAGUUAACACCUCGUGGCAACCACCAUAAUUGGCUUUAUGAUGGGAAAACGCAAGAUCUAAUUUAAAUAAACCCUCUUAGCGUAUUUAUUGGUUAGGGUUGGAUUCUUCUAGCUUUAAUGCAAUUGGGUAAUUAAAUUCUCACGGUCGUACCUAGGGUUGUUAUCUGGUUAGAGAAGCAGUCAAUGGUUGUACCUUGACUAUCGAAAAAGUAAGGAAGAACUGGUUGUCAGAGCUUAUUGAUAACUAUAACCAACCUAGUGAUGAAUGGAUGAAAUACCUUUGCAUUGAUGAGCAUCUGUCUUGAGUCCAUUGAAGUGCCGUUGGUUGAGUAAUUUCUGCGUCUUUUUGUUGAAUUGGAAGGCUAUUGUGACACUUCCAUUGCACUUUCGGAAUGCAUUGUUUCUGUAUUUGACUAAAUUCAGGCCACCAGUGCUUCUUGAUUGCAAUCACUGUGCUGUUGGGGUAUUUGUACAGCUUUGAGUACCUGAAUUGUGUUUGUGUUGGUUGGAGUACCAUUUAUAGAGAAUGGUGAGACCUAAAUCCUCCUCUAGGUCUAGGACACCUAGAACUUCUCAGCCUCCUCCCACCCUAGGGGCUAACGAUUGGCUCCAACUCCGAAUGCAAGUUAAGAGACCGGAGAUUCGAGUGACCCACAUUGACAUCAACUUGCAUACCAUGGUGCAGAAUUUGGCAACAAUUAUGCACCAUGCGGGUCUUGUUCCUCAGUUUCCGUCUGACCCACCCCUGUUUUGACGACUUCAGGGAAGCACCGGUGCUCUUUUGCUUACUUUUGCUAUUAAAUUAUCACAUUGAGGGCAAUGUGUGAUUUAGGUAUGGGGGGGAUCAGUUGUGGUACUAGUAUUUCCAGUUUUUGAUUUUUAAGUGUUUUUCCUUUGUUUUUAGUUUGAUAUUUUUCUCUUUUUCGUUUAUUUCUUUUAUUCGUGAUCAGCUCUUAUUUGAAUACCAAGUUUUGAUGUUGGAUUGUUGCCUCUAAUUCUGCUCUUGCCAAGUUUUAAUAAUAAAAGGGUAUCAAGUUAAUAUGGUUGAAUUCAGGAACAUCUCUUUGGUGAAUAUCAAUAAUUGCUUAACUUUUCCAAGUUUUGGUUAACUUUUCUAGGCAUAGGGAAUGAUUGUUGGCAUUUUUCAUGUAAAUUGGUCCAAUUAUUAAUUUUAGUUCUCUAUGUUUGGAAAUUUGAGGCUGACUGCUGUUAUUUUUAGUUAUUGUGUUAUAUGAUUGUAAAUAAUAGAUAACUGUACUCCAUUAGUUGUUACUACUGAGUAACCGGGGAUUUUCACCUAAAGUGUCGAUUCUCAUGUCAAAAGGUAGCAGUUACUAUGAGUGCGUGGUCCCGUAGCGAUUGGAGCUAAGUAACCGGGCUCCUCCAUCUGUCAAAUGUUGGAGUUCGCAUCAAAACGCUCUAAGGGUUAUAAACUAAGUCUUUUGUUAUUCAAAAAAAAAAAAGAAAAAAAGAAGCAGAAGAAAACAAAAGAAGCAGAUUGUGUUAGUAUAUGAAAAAGUCAGCUUGCCGAUUUGUGAUCUUAAUAUCGAGAUUUUGGUUAAUAGUUGGACCGUUUGCUGAUAAAUAUGAGCAACCAUUCCUUUUUCUUAGAUUAGUUUGCUUUAAAUUGGAAGAGUUGGUGGUUGGGAAGCUAAUCGGGGUAAUUUUUCUUUGAUCUUGACCUGUGAUGCUUGAUAUAUGUUUUUCUGGAUAUCUUGGCAAUACGGUAGUUGGAGCAAUAGCCAUUGUCAAAUUUUGGUGUUCAAUUUCUGCUCUCAUGCUUGAGGGCAAGUAUGGUUUAGGUGUGGGGGGAAUUGAUAGGGUGUUAAUUGUUAAUAAUUUUAUUGCUAUUUUUCCCCUUUGUCCUUGCCAAAUAUUAUUUUAAUUGUUAACAUAUACUUAUUUUUGGUAUUUGGACCAAUCUACAGGAAGUGGAACUGACAAAUGCUAAAAAGGAGAUUUUAUUGAGAAAAAUCCUUCACAUGCUAGAGCCUCCAGCGGAUAUACAAGUUGGGCCCACAUGGUGUUACAAAUUCGGUUGCUGAUGGGGAGCUCUUAUUAUUGGGAGUUGACUUGUACGUGUAGGAGUCCUCCUACCAAGAGGAAACAAGAAAAAAGGAAUUCGGCAGAGGCCCAUCUUUUGUACUUAGCUUUCUCAAUUCGGUAGGGACCAUGGACUAGAGGUUUUCAUUAGUGAUUGGACUUUAAAAGGGAAGAAACGUAUAGAGGCUUGGGGAUUAUUAUGAUUAGCGUAGCUUUAGUUUUAGUGGUUAGCUAGCGUUUCCUUUUCAUGCGCACGAGGUGCUCGACAAUAUUUUUCAACGGGAAAAAAAAACAUCUUUUACUCUUGCUUUCUAGUGAAAAACUUGAUGCCUUUGCAAUCAAUUAAUUUGCGUGGAGAUUUAAUUAUGCGGCGUGGCUAAGCCUUUCAUCUAGUUAAGGAUCAACUCGAUGGUACAGUCCCAAAUAUCUGUGAGAUCUAAUUAGUUUUCACGCGUUUCUUAAUUUGUUAAUAUUUGCACGUUGCCUAUUUGAAUUUUCAAGGGAUUAUUUUGUUAAUUGGAUGUCAAGGGCCCGAUGUUCAAUAUGGCUUAUUAAUCUCCUUCCAAAUUAGUCAAUUAAAUCCGUAAUUGUUUGAUUGAUUAAUAUUAGUGGCAACUGGCGUGUUUAUACACUAGGGGAACGUGCAAUCUAAUUUAAAUAACGCUCGUAGCGUGUUAUUGAUCGGGGUUAGGUUUUUCUAGUUAUUAAUGCAAUUGAAAAAUUAAUUCCUACGAUCGUACCUAGGAGUAUUUUCUGAUUAGGAAUAAUCAAUGGUCGUACCUUGAUUAUCAAUAAAUAAAAGAAAAAUUGGUCGUUAGAAUUCGUCGGCGACUAUAACUAGCCUAUUAAUAAAUUAAGUGAACCUCCCUUGCAUCAAUGAUCGAGUAAGUGGACUGUGUCUGAGUAGUUGUAUCAUUGGCUAGAAUUUAUCUAUUCUUGAUUUAAUUCCUGCCUAUAUUCGUGCAAGUUAAUUAUUUAUUUUUAGUGAAUUUUUUAAUUAUUUUUAGUUUUACUCCGAUAAAAUCCUCCUUUAUCAAUUGGAAUCUCAAAGAGACAAAUAUCCCCAGUCCUUGAGGAGAUGACUCUACUUGCCACUGUCUACUAUUUAGUAAGUUUUGUCAACUAAUUAAUUCUGAUAUAUCGGAUUAAGCAAACUUUUCGAGAAUAGGGUGAAUCAAGUAACCCAUUACACACCUAGAGUCCCUGCUCCAGUAUUUAGGAUUAAUUAUUGACUGUUUUUAGUGGUAUUUAUAUUUUUAUUAUUAUUAUUGCAUAGGCUCGACACCUGUCAAUUUUUGUGAUGUUGACCCAAACAACAAAGGACGGGUUAUGUGAUGUUGACCCAAAUAACAAGUCUUCACUAGUGAAUGUGAUAUUUGUGAUAUCCACCUCUUUAUUACCAGUGGGCACGUGAGUUAUCUCACAAGGAGAUUCGCGAGUAUCAUCCUUUGUUCUUCAAUAUCAUCAACUUGCGUUGUGUGACAUGAGACCAUAUCAAUAUCAAAGAAUCUUUUAGAUAUGAAUUCUUUUAAAAUGAUAGAAACUCGCGACUUUUGCUUGAAUACUUGAUUUUCUUGAAGAUUGUGAUUAUUAUUAUUUUUCUCUAUAUUCUUCUCUUUUCUCUUCCAGACCAUUCUACUUCUUGUUAAGGCCUUGUUUACCUUAUUAGAUGGACGAGAGUUUCAUCUUCAUCUUCGCGUGAUCAGAGUUCAUCCAUCAUCAUCUACGUCUGAUUGUAAUGACUUCUCAUCUUCAUAUUCAUAUUUUUGAAGAGCUGAAGGGGCGAUUUUUUGUUCAACUUCUAUAGGAUCAAAUGAUCCAAAUUGAAUGGUUGGCAAUAUAGGUAUCGUAAACUUUUCGACUUCCAUGGACUGUAGUGAAUCAACGGAGGUUUGAUUCAUACUUGCUUUGUUUUUUUCAAGAAAAUUUUUUUCUUGUCUUGCCAAAUCCAUCAUCUCAUCUUUAAAGACAAAGUAUUUUUGAAUGGGAUGUCCAACCAAGCAAUGAUACUUGAUUUGGAUCAUCCGUAUUACUAAUCUCGUCAAGUCAGUUCAUCUUGGAAGCAUGAUCAAGUUCAUGCUUAACAAAUUAUCAAAUAUACUAGGAACAUCAGAAUCAAGGAAAUUGUACUUCUUGUUUUGCAUCUCCUUGAGUGUUGGUUUUUUCUUUCCUUCGUCUUGAUGCAUACUGGUUUUCUUGUCUUCUCUUUUAGCAGUUCUGAGAAUAAUCUUGAAAGGUGUUAUACUUGCAGCUAUGGCCUCUUUCUCACUUUGAUUGGGGGCUUGCCUCCUUUCCUCACUUCUUGUUUCUCCUUAGCCUUGCGAGAAUCAGGAAUUGGCGGCUCUUGUCCAUCAAGGUUAAUUUCUAUCUUAUGAGUUUUUGGGGAUAAUUCAUCAAAUAUUUCUGGUUAUACCCCUUACAAGAUAUAUCUGAAUCCCCAAUGCAAGUCUUGAAUACACAUCUCAAUAGCGGAAGACUCGAAAAUUCGAUCCUUACAGUUUAGGCUUAGAUUUUUUCGAGCGAUUGAUAAAGUUAAUAACAUGUUCAUUCUUUCACUAGCACAUAUUUUAGAGUUCAAUUAUGCUGACAGUCCUUUUCGUGCUAUAGAAGCAAUUAAGGAAUUCCUACUCUAAUUGCUCCCAACUGUCAAUGCUGCUAGAUUCUAAAUCUGUGUACCAAUCAAACGUGUUACCCUUCAAUGAGUGAACAAAUUGCUUAACUAGCAAGUCACCAUUAGUGCCAGCAUUGUUACAAUUUUCGACAAAGUGCGCAAUAUGUUGUUUAGGGUUACCUUUGUCAUCAAAUUAUUGAAACUUUGAAAAUUGAAAUCCUACAAGCAUCUUCAAACAUUUACUCUUGUGGUGUAAGGUUUGAUAUAAUUGCUAUAUGACUUGGUAUUUCCACCAAUCUUGUCCUUGAUCGUACCUUUGAUAAACUCCUUUAAAUUAUCAACAUGAAUGGUACUAUCAGGAGAGAUUGAAAACUCCUUCAUUAUUCGUGACUUGGUAUCCUCUUUCUCUUUCUUCCUUGAUGAUGAGUUACCUUCAUAUUUUUUACCAUGGCCAUUAGUUUGGCUAUUUUGGCAUCUUGACUUUGCACGUGCCCUGCUAGCCCUUCGACAAUUUGGCAAGAUUUGAAAUUUGAUCUCUACGGUUGUGGUGUUAGUCAUCAUGAUGGGCAUUACCACAGAAGUAGCUAAAUUGCUUGAGCUAUCAGCAGAUUCAUCAUGGACUCCCUUCUUGUUGGGAAAAAUCUCAAAAUUUUUUCUUUCAACCACAGCAUUCGCCUUAACCCUAUCUACUAAUUUCUUAGCCUUGCUCCUUGUCAUAGGUGUAGUAUACUGCAUCUCCUGAGUUGUUGGGAUGCCAGCAACUGAGCCUUCAAGAGCAAAACUCAUCUUCUUGGACUCCAUUGAUUCUUGAAACAAGUAAGCUAUUCAAAGAAAAGAGAUGAAAAACAGAGAUGGUCCCACCAGACGUGUCAUAAAAUUUGUGAGCAUAAAUUUUGUUGCCUAAAAUAAAGACAAGAAAAUUUGCAUAAAUAUCAAAUUUAUUAAAUCAAAUAAUAAAUGGGUUAUAAUUUUUGAAAAUUCUUGAAUUAAAGAUAUUAAUCUUCUAAUUCUUCUCUUCAAAAACUUCAAUUGAAGGGUUGAAAAGACUUGUUUACCGAUCAAGAGGGUGUUUCCUACGAUUUUGACAUAGAAAACCGCUGAUUUGAUGAUGACGUUAAAUAGUUGAUGUUGGGUUUGGAUUUUAUUCCACCAAUCGUUCAUUUUGUUGGAUUUGAGUUUUAUACCACCAACUGUGGGAUAAAACCCAAUCCCAAUAAAAUGAACGGUUGGUGGGAUAAUACUCAAAUCCAAUAAAAUGAAUGAUUGGUGGGAUAAAAUCCAAACCCAACACUUGUAUCUUUAAAUCUUCAAUGUCGAUAGAAGGAGGAUUUAUUUUAACUUGAUUUGGAUUUGAAUUUAAGGGAAAAUGCUCUCGAGAGAAUUUGACAGAAUUUCUUCAAAAUUUAGAAAUUUCAAUGUGUUUUUGUACUAAGAGAAUACCUUUAUUUAUAGGCAAAAUAUGUAGAUUAUGUCUUCAAGAAAAUUCUCCAGAACCUUCUUGCGUUUGGGUAACUUGUACCUCAAGAAACUCAUUUAACUUAGGUUUAAAUAGUGGGCCUAUUCAAAUAAUCCAUUGUGAAUUAAUACAUCAAUUAAUCCACUUUAAUUUAAAUGGGUAACACAUUGAUUUGAUUUGAUUUAAUAGCCCAUAUAUCAUUGGUCUAUUUUGUCAAUCAAAACAUAAUAGACUGCUAUAAUUUAAUUUAAUGUAAUCAAGAUCAAUUUAAUUUAUUUAAUCUUGACUAAAUAAAUUUUCUUUGUCUACAGCAUGUACGUGUAAUUUUCCAAAUAAUGAUACUUUUCAAAGAGAGUUUUCAAAUAAUGAAAGUUCUAAAACAAGGCAUUCACCGAAUGCGUGAAUGUAUCUUUUUAAACAACGCAUUUAGUCAAUACGUUUUUAAGGAAAAAUGCCUAUACAAAUAAAAGAAUGAAUUCUAUAAAUGUGUCUUUUGAGGAAACAACACAUUUACUAAGUACGUUUUUUCACUCUUUGGGAAGAAGUUCAAAAAACACCACCAUUUGAAAGGUAAUUUUAGAAAAUCCCACUUUUUGAGAAUUUACUCAAGCUUGUACUUGACAAAAUGUGUUGGGAAAAUUGUGACGUCAGGUGAAUUGUAAAACUGUUGUGCCAUCGUAAUGUAUGUUUUGCACUAGAUUGAGUAAGAAUUAUAUCAAAAUAGUCGGCCACAAUAUAGGAAUGUGAAAACUUUGUGUUAAGUAAGUUGUAAUAUUUUUGUAUCAUCUAACGUAUAUUUGAAAACGAUUGAGAAUAUAAUAUAUGGAAACAACAGGUCACAAUGUUGAAAUGUCAAACCUCUUGUUUCAAACCAAAUACUUAUUAAACUCCUUCAUAUCGCUAACGAAUUUUGAUUCUGAAGUAAUAAUAGUUUUAUUUAAUUAUUUGCCUUUUUUGGAACAAUAUUAAAAUGUAGCCAUAAAUUUAAAUUCCAAAAUUGUUGAAUACUUGAGGAAUUCUAGAAAUGGCACUGAGAGUCAAAGUUCACCUUAUUCAAAAGUCACCAGCCAUCUCAGAGUGCAUGUUUCUAUUGAGUUUCAGGUUCAAUGUGUACCCACUUCCACUUUUGGCUGAUCAAUCAGGACUAAGGUUCCGUUUGAUAAAACUGAAUCUGAAUUCUGAAAUCUGAAUACUGAAACAAUUAAUUUGCUGAAUUUUAAGUUCUGAAAAGAAAUAUAUGAAUGUCUGAAUUUUAAUGUUAAAUCUAUUUCUACUGUUUGAUAAACAUUUAUAACUGAAUGCUUAAUAAGUUAAAUUUGACAAAUUUGCCCUUAAUCUUUUCAUCCAAAAAAGAAGUAGAACCUAUGAUUUAAUUAGGUAAAAAUGUUAGGUAUGAAAAUGACAAUAUUUAUUUUUAAAUCAAAUUAAUAUAAAAGAUGAAAUAUAUUAUAUGCGGAGUGGAGAAGAUGUAAAAAUCAUUCAAAAUGGAGAAAAAAGAAAUAGAAAAUCAUUAGAUAGAGAAUAUUAGAUUGUUUAAUUAGAUAAGAAUUUUGAACAUAAUUAACAAACAAUGGUAGAUUUGAUAGAUAAGAUAAGGUAAUUGAAGUAAUUCUAUUGAUUCUUAUCAGAAUUAAGUAUUCAGUUAGGAUUUUUGUGCUGAAAAAAAUACACACAAUUUCAGCACUACUUAACAAGUUCAGCAAAUAGAUUUUCAUUUAUCAAACAUUCAAAACAUCUAAAUGUCUAAAAAAAUUUAGAUUCAACACUUUUUUAUAUUAUUAAACAGACCCUAAGAGAAUAAAAUAACUUGCUUGCUGUUAGCGAUGGCAACGGGGCGGGGUUGGGGCGGGGGACCCCUCCCCCGUCCCCCGCCCCGUUGCCUAUUAGUUCCCCCUGUCCCCCGCCCCCCCCCCCGCUUCCCCCGCGGGGUUAAUAAAAUUUUAUUAUAAUUAAAUUUUAAUAAAUAAUCAAUUACUAAAAUAUCAACACAUCACCAAAUUAUUAUUCAUUGUAAUUUUACAAUUAAAACUCAUAAAAACAAUCAAACAAAAGUUAUUUGAAUACAAUCCAAUAUGAUGAAAUAAAUAUAACUAAAAUAGUUAAGUUUUCGCUUUUAGUACAAAUGCAAUCACUAAUUCAUUAUUGUGUUUGUGCUUUUCUUUUGAGAAAAAAGUGUUAUUCUAUUAAGUGUAAUUAGAAAUUUAGUAUAAAUGUAUUAGUAAAUUUAGUAUAACUAAUUAAUAAAUUUUAUUAGUAGACAUGUAUAAUUAUUCAUAUAAUUGAUAAUAUCAAUUAUAUUACAUAAACUACUAUACAUUAUAUAAUACAUCUAACUAAUAAUAUCAUUAUCAUAAGUUUAUAACUAAUUAACUUACAUAUUAUAUAUAAUUAUAUAUAUAUUUUUUUUAGGGUGGCGCGGCGGGGGAUGGGGCGGGGGUAUACUCCCCCGUCCCCCGCCCCGUUUCUAAGCGGGGGGAAAAAUUCCCCCCCCCGCCCCAACCCCCGCCCCGAGAGCCCCCCGUGGGCACCCGCCCCCAUUGCCAUCCCUACUUGCCGUUUUUAAAAAAGGAUUCAUUAUUUUUUCUUUGAGCAUUGGUAUCUCCACCCUCAAUGACACUAAUCUGGAUUCAAUAUGAGGAGUGUCCGUAGAGGCUGACUCUUACUCGAGAGUAAAGACUUGACCCAGAGCUUUUCAAGGCGUCAUCAUAUGUAGGAGUCAAACUUAUGAACUCUGUGCAUAGAUAAUUUAGCUCCAGUCUGUGGAAUGUCUUGAUGUUAGGUGAGUUGUAAUAUUUUGGUAUCAUCUAAUGAAAUUUUUAAAAGAUUGAGAAAUAAUAUAGAGCAAAACACCAAUUUAUUCCCUAAAUUAUUUUGCUAAAAUCAAAAUACUCCGUAAAUUUAUUUUGAGUCAGUUUAGUCCCCCAACUAUUUUUACAAAGCUGAAAUAGUCCUUAAACUUUAUUAUGAGCCAAUUUAGUCUCUCAACUAUUUUGUUUAAGUGAAAUAGUACCCCACCUUUAUUUAUUUGGCCAGUUUGGUCCUUGUUUGACUCAUCCACCCAAUUUAUCAACCUUGUGCACUAACAAUCAGGGGCAAAAUAAGAAAUUUAGUCAAUGCCCUUACUAAAAUGAUAGAAGAAUUAGAUAUCUGGCAAAAUUAAAAACAAAAUUGAAUCAUAUAGAGAACAAAAAAAUAUAGUGUUUCUUAUGGAGGAAAAAAAUGGAGCUGAUGCCUAAAAUCUCACAUGGAUCCAACUCAGUCCAUUGAAUGGAGAAAAGGGAAAAUAACACAACAAGAAUAUGUUAAAAGUUGGAAAAUGUGCUAUAAUUAUGAUUACUCCUUUAAGAAAUAAAGCUGAAAGAAGCUCAAUUUCUUUUUGUUUUCCAUAUUAUUCAAUUUCGUUGUCGAUUUUUCGAUAGAUGUAUGUUUUUUUUUUUGUUUUAAUAAGGGCUAUGAUUGGAUUUCCUAUUAUGCCAUUGGCUGUCGAUGCUACACUUGAUAAAUUAGAUGGAUCAUCCAAAUAAAGACAAAAUUGGCUAUGUAAACAUUAGUGAGGGACUAUUUCAGCUUAAGAAAAAUAGUUGAGGGACUAAAUUGGCUUAUAAUAAAAUUAGGGACUAUUUCAGCUUUGUAAAAAUAGUUGAGAGACUAAAUUGACUCAUAAAAUGUUUAGGGACUAUUUUGACAUUAAGGAAAUAGUUUUGGGACUAUAAACAUUAGGUCACAAUGUUGAAAUAUCAAAACCCAUGUUUUGGACCAAAACUCAUAGAACUUCUUCACGUCGCUAACGAAAUUUGAUUAUGAAGUAAUGCUAAUUUUAUUUAUUAUUUGUUUCCUUGCUGGUCUUCUGUCUUUUUGGUUAUUCCAAAAUUGUUGAAUAUUUAAACGAAUUCUAGAAAGGGCACUGAGAGUCAAAGUCUUAUUCAAACAGCCAGCUAUCUCAAAGUACAUAUUUUUUUAUUAUCAGGUUCAAUAUGUAUCUAUUGCAAUUUUUGAAUGACCAGCCAUGACUAAGAGAAUAAAAUAAUUCACUUGCUGUUUUUAGAUAUGAAUUCAUGACUGUCAGUAGUCUAUAAAUACACUUAUUGCUCACCACUCUUUGCACCGCAAAAUCUCUUCAAGAUCCAACAAACCCUCCUGUUCUUGGUCUUUGUCCAUUUGUGAAAAAACAAAUUAAAGCGUCAUGGCCCCUAUCACUUGUAGUGCUGAGAUGACCUCCCCAAUCCCUCCUGCAAGGUUGUUCAAGGCCGCCAUCCUUGAUGACCACCCUUAAUGCCACAGGCUAUUAAGAGUGUGGAAAUCCUUGAAGGAGAUGGUGGCGUUUGAACCAUUGAGUUGAGCACAUUUGGUGAAGGUUAGAUGUUAUAUUAAAUGUAGAACCCCAAAUUUAAGGAUCUAAUAAUAAUCAAUGCGUGCAGGGUUACAGAAUUGGAGGGAUAAAACAAAUACUCAAAAUAUACGUGGAAGAAAAGAAAAAUAAUAAAUUCAACUCACAAUAUUAUUGAAAUUUCAAACAAUGAAGAAAAUCAUACCACAAUGAAUUCAACUGGUUCUAAUAAUAAUCAAAGCAUACAAGGUUACAGAAUUAAAAGGAUAAAACAAACACUCAAAAUAUAUGUGGGAGAGAAGAAAAUAAUAAAUUCAACACACAAUAUUAUUGAAAUCUCAAACAAUGAAAAAAGUCACACCAUAAUAGAAAACCUUGCUAAUGCUUCUAGAUUCUUUCUCUUGAGAAACCAACCUAAAUAAUGUUCUAUUUAUAAUCUACCAAACUUGUUAGGAAAGAAACCACUUGCAUAAGAAAUUACCAAAUAAUACAGAAAUUCCUAAAUCACACAACUACUAAAAACAUAACUCAAAUAAAACUAAAAAAUAAAUAAAUAUUACUAGGCUUAGUUUAAUUUGUCAACAUUGCCUCCUUUAAACCAUACUAUCCAUUGAGAUAGGUUCAACACCAUCUCGAGCAAUAAUUUCUAUGCAAAUCUAUGUUGUAGUACACUUGACAUGAAACUCUAACUUGUUACCAGUUAUUAAUUUCAUUUUUACACGUAACAGUGGACACACUAUGUAUUGUGUAAACAACUUCUCAGCAAUUUCUUCUUGAUCAAAGAACUCACUUAUACAAACCCAUUCAUCACCAGAAUCACCAUAUUUACCACCAAUGUAAGUGCCUAAAAAUACAAAAUCAUAGAUUUCUUUCUCGCUAAAAUUAUCAUCACCAAAUAAUUCAAAAUAACCACUACUACAAUCAUCCAAAAUUUUCAUACUGUCAGUCAACUCUUUUGGAGUAAAAUAUUUUUCAACUCCGAUGACAUCCAUAUCUAUUAAAUCAAACAUUCUCCCAUCACUUUGAAGAGAGUCCGAACCAACGAAUUUUUCAACAACAAUUUCAUGUUCUCUUCUCUUAUCAAAUCAAAAUUUUUUUCUUCUUUUGUCAAAUUACCAUAUUAUUUUUUUCAACAAAUUCAUUACUUCUAAUUUCUCCAAACAAGGUACGCAAAUCAAAACUAUCAAUUGAUUCAAAAUUUUCGAUAUCACCCAUAUUAUCAACAAAUCUAUCAUUUUUAAAAUCCACAAACCAAUACCAAUAAAUAGACUUCGGUUUGAAAGCAUAAUUUCUCCCAAUCGUGUGCAAAACAUAGUAAAUAUCCUUCCAAAAUCUCUAAAGUAUUUUAAUUAGUACGACCAAUAAAGGUUUUAUAAACACUUUUUGCCAUUAUUUUACGCAUCACUUGAAAGAAUAAUUGUGCCUUUUUCUUAAAAACAUGUUUUGACAACUUACUUGCAUCAACCCAACAAAGAAUAUCAUCCAAAUUACAUUGUUUAACAUAUUUUUCCACUAUUAAAAUCCAACCAAAAUAUGUAUGUCCAUUUGUGCUUAUAGGAGUCAAUAUGAAAAAUUUUUCACCGUGAAUCAGAUCUUUAUAAUAUUCCAUUAUUUAACAAUUUGUAUACCUGGAUAAAUUUUUUUCCUCCAUCCUGUCAUGUUUUCUUGGCCUCCCUGGUUGACUAACCAAAUUAUUGUUGUAUGUAUACCCAUGCUCGUCAAACCUCAUUUGUGUACACUCGUAAGGAGUGGUUCUGAGCUUCUUGUGAAUGCUCAGUACCAAGAAGUAGAAGAGAGAAUGCAUAAGAGAGAAUUAACUUGGCUAUAGAAAUAGGAAACAAUUGAGGGAUUUUUUAAGAAAUUAAUUCUCCAGCUACCACUUUUGGAAAUUUUCUAUCAACAACUAGUUACCAAAACACUAGCACAUAAUAAGAAAUCAGGAUAAUUUCAGAAACCUCCCUUGAGGCUUUUAAUAACCUCAAGAAGCUCCCCUCAAUAUUUUAAAAUUACACGUACCUUCCCUAUUGGUGCAAAAGUACUCUACUACCCCUAAUAGGAUACUCAAAAGACUUUUUUUUAUGGGAAAAAUGAAGCUCAGAAAUCCAAGCAAAAUCAAAAAAAUCAAUUGAUUUUCUCUUUUAGCCUUUUACACUUUUGCCUUCUACCUUUGCUCACUUUCCCAUCCCAAUCUUCCUACACCCGCUUUCCCAAUCCCCUUUCCCCAACUUUUCUCCUCUACUUCAAGACCAAUUUUUGUCUAUCUAUCCUGGCUUGUGCUUUGUUCCAUUCCCUUCCCUUCUCCUUCUUUGAUUUCGCCUACAUCUCCCUUUCUCUUUGCAAAAGUGACUAGGCUCAUGUCUCUCUUUUUCCCCCCUAUUCUAAGUGUAGUGGGUUUGAUUAUUUUGCAUCUAUUUUAUUUGAUUUGGGUUGAUUAUGGGUGAUAGAACUUGGCGAUGUCAAAUAUCAAAAGUUUGAUAGAUGGAUAUUGGGCUUUAGACAAUGAUUUGCUGAAAAAAAUGGCUGCAAUGAGACAAAGAGGCAAGGGGAUUUGAGUGUGGGGUUGAUUGUUGAUAAAUUGUUGUUUUGGACAAAAUUUGAGGUUGAGUUUUAUUAAAUUUGAUAGCAAGUGGCGAGUUUUGUUCAGGUUGCGGGAAAUAAAUUAGAUUGUGGUUUCUUGGGCACCCACAGUUGUUGGAAUUGGUUUUGAUUCAAAUUAGGGUGGUUACUUGAUUUUCCUAAUAGUGUUGCUUAAAAGCACACGAUCAUCAAAAUUCCUUAUUUUUAUCUUUUGUUUUUUCUUGUAGAAAAGAUUUCACGACUUUCGUGAUAGUCUAAUUUGGAAGAAGGCAAUCAAGGGAUGCAAUCAACAUUUAGCAAAAGCUCUUGUUCUUUCCUUUGUAAUUUUUAGGGUAAAAAGGGUAGUUUAGGGUAUUUGAAGGAAAUGAUAGUCUAUUGGGUCUAUUUUCAAGCAUAAAUAGUGAACGUAAGGGAGGUUGGUGUAAUUUCUGAAACCUAAGGGAAAUUGUCUGAAAUUGUUCGAGACCUCAGAGGAGGUUUUCGAAAUUAUCCCUAAGAAAUCAAAUGCGAAACUUGAUUAGUACACGCACACACGACACCGCACCACGCCGCGCGUGUGUUGAGGAUUGGUGUCCGUAACCAACGACAAGCAGGUUUUCAAUUUUUUUUUCCUUUCCUGGAUUCUCCAGAGAUGGUGUCAGCUUCUAUUAUUGAUGAGCAGGAGGAAAUCCACAAUAUACAGUACACAUCACCCAUAUUCUUUUUAAUUGAACAAUGUAUGAAAUUAUGGUGAUUCGAAAUUAAAUUAUAUGUUUAUUGGGCACUGAAUCCAAAAUAAGAGUUGGAAAUGUAUUGUGACAACAAUUGUUAACAUAGGCCACAAAUGAUCAAAACAAAUAUUUAAGGUUUAAUAUGACAUUAUGGGUUCAGAAUAUAGUUACUUGUUAUGAAACAACUAAAAGUAUGGAUAUCCAUUUGUAUUUUCAAGAGGAUCAAUUCAUAAUUCAUUGCUCCCAAGAGGAUUAAUUCAUAAUACAUUGCUACAUUAUGUAAAGGAAUUGCAUUGGAUGAACGGUUUCAAUCCAUAAAAGCUAUUUAUGUAUUGGAUGAACCGUUUCAUAUGGCUAUUCAUGUUCUUGUAGUAAUGAGUGUUUAAUAGAAUUGAUGUACCUUUAAUUUUGUAGUACCUAUAUAUACAGGUACUUUGGCACCUCUUGGGUAUACUUUUUGAUUAGUUGGAAUAAUAAGAAAAUUAUUCUUCAUUUCUGUACUUCUUUCUCUAAUAUUUCAAUUCCUAUUAUAGUAGUUCAUUUUUUUUAGUUUUACAACACGUUAUUAGCAUGAGUCUCUACUUUUGAACAAAAAGGUGAAAACGGAGCCUCUACCUUAAAAAAAAGUGAAACACGAGAUUCUGCCAAAAUUUUGCCCGUAUUUUUCCGGCAACUUCUGUCCACUUAUUGAGAAAUGGAUGCCAAAUAUUUGGGAUUAAAUAAUGGUGAUGAUGAUAUUUGUCUCAUUGAUAGUGCUACUACGCACACUAUAUUGAAAAAUAAAAAAAAAAUUUCUUGUAUGAAAAUGGGAGAGACAAAUGUUAAUACCAUAACUGGUAGUGCAAAAUUGAUUGAACGCUCCGGAAUAGCCUCUCUAUUUCUUCAUGAAGGGACUAAAAUUGUCGUAAAUAAUGCACUACUGUCUCCCAAGUCUCGGAGAAAUUUAUUGAGUUUUAAAGAUAUCUGCGAAAAUGAAUACUAUAUAGGGAUAAUGACUGAGACAAAUGGAGAAUUUUUAUUAAUCACAAGUAUCAUUUCUGGGCAGAAAUGCGUAGUAGAAAAAUUACCUUCUUUUUCUUCUAGCUUAUAUUAUGCACAAAUUAGUGCAAUUGAAAUUUAUCACCUAGUAGACCAGAAGUCUACUCAUCCCAAUAAUUUUAUGAUUUGGCAUGAUCGUCUCGAAAAUACUGAAUCUAUAAUGAUGAGACGAAUAAUCAAGAAUUUACAUGGUCACUCAUUGAAAAAUUAAAAGAUAUUAAAAGCAAAUGAAUUCUCCUGUGUUGCUUGUUCCCACGGAAAAUUAAUUAUUAGACCAUCACCAGUUAAAGUUGGGACUGAAUUCCCUACAUUUCUAGAACGAAUUCAUAGUGAUAUAUGUGGACUCGUAGAUCCACCAUGUGGACCAUUUCGAUAUUUUAUGGUGCUAAUUGAUGCAUCAACUAGAUGGUCACAUGUAUUUUUAUUAUCUACUCGCAACUUGAUAUUUGCGAGAUUGCUUGCUCAAAUAAUUAAAUUGCGAGCACAAUUUUCAGACUAUCUAAUAAAGAAAAUUCAUUUAGAUAAUGCUGGUAAAUAUUCGUCACAUGCUUUUGACAAUUAUUGCAUAUCUAUUGGAAUAACUAUUGAACAUCUUGUAACUUAUGUUCACACACAAAAUGGUCUAGCCGAAUCAUUUAUUAAAUGGUUACAAUUAAUUGCUAGACCAUUGUUGAUGAGGUCUAAACUUCCUUCAUCUGCUUGGGAAUAUGCUAUAUUAUAUACAGCAAUACUUGUGAGAAUUAGACCGACAAGUUAUCAUACUUAUUUUCCUCUAUAAUUAACUUUUGGUUAUAAGUCAAAUAUUUCUCAUUUACGAAUAUUUGGUUGUUCGGUUUAUGUUCGAAUUGCACGGCCCCAAUGUCGUAAAUUGGGUCCACAAAGAAGAUUGGGGAUAUAUGUCGGAUAUAAAAUCACCUUUAAUUAUUAAGUAUAUGGAACCAUUGACAGGUGAUUUAUUUACUGCAAGAUUUGCAGAUUGUCAUUCUAAUGAAUCACAUUUUUCGACAUUAGGGGGAGAUAAAAAUCAAUCGAAAAAGAAAAUCACUUGAAAAAUAUCAUUCAAUUUUCUCGAUUCUCGUACCAAAGAAUGUAAACUAGAAGUUCAAAGGAUUAUACAUUUGCAAAAAAUUACAAAUCAACUACUGGACGUAUUUAAUGACUCCAGAAGAGUUAUUAAAUCACAUAUUUUUAUUGAAAAUACUCCGAUUAAAAUUAAUGUCCUUGAAGGACAAAUUACAAGUGUUAAUGAGUGUAAAGUGCGCCUGAAGCGUGGGAGACCUCUUGGUUCUAAAGAUAAAAAUUCUCGAAAGAAAAGAGAAAUUGAUGAAUCAACAAUUAGUGACAAAAUUCAACCUCCUGAAGAAGUCGCUCCUAAAGAGCCAAUUCUUGAAGAUAAUGAAAUUAUAGAAAAUUCAAUAAAUUUUGUCGCUUCAGGAAAAAGUUGGAACAAAAAAAAAUUAUUAAUAGUAUUUUUGCAUAUAAUGUAGCACUUGUUAUUAUGGUAGGUAAUGAAGAUCGUGAGCAUAGAUCGGUUGAUGAAUGUCGACGUAGAAAUGAUUGGCCAAAAUGGAAAGAUGCGAUUCAAUCUGAAUUGGACUUACUAGCUACAAGAAAAGUUUUUGGGCCUGUAGUCCAAACACCUGAAGGUGUAAAGUCAGUAGGAUAUAAAUGGGCAUUUGUGAGAAAAAGAAAUGAGAAAAAUGAAAUCGUGAGGUAUAAAGCAAGACUUGCAACCCAAGGAUUUUCACAAAGGCCUGGAUUUGAUUAUGAUUACACGUAUUCACCUGUAGUGGAUGCUAUCACAUUUAGAUAUCUUGUGAGUUUUGCAGGACAUGAAAAAUCAGAUAUGCAUCUAAUGGACGUCGUUACUGUAUAUUUAUAUGAAAAUUUUGAAAAUGAUAUUUAAACGAGAAUCCCUGAAGGAUUCAACAUGCCUGAAGCAUGCAAAUCAAAUUUUAAAGAUAUUUAUACUAUUAAAUUACAAAGGUAUUUGUAUGGGUUCAAACAAUCUGGACGUAUGUGGUACCGCCUCAAUGAAUGUUUAACUAAAGAAGGCUAUACCAAUAAUCUAAUACAUCCAUGUGUCUUUAUCAAGAAAAAUGGACUAAUUUUAUGAUAAUUGUUGUCUAUGUUGAUAAUCUUAAUCUGAUUGGAACUCUUGAAGAGAUUCAAAAUAGUGUUGAAUAUUUGAAGAAGAAGUUUGAAAUCAAAGAUUUUGGAAAAACAAAAUUCUACAUUGAUUUACAAAUUGAGUGAUAGGUUGCAAUUUUAUCAUUUAUUUUAUUAUUAAUUUUCCCUAUUACUUAACCCAAUGUGAAUUAAUUAUUAGAUUCUACUCACUUUUAGUAUUUUACAUAUAUUUCAGGGAGUAGAACGAAAAUACCAUAAUAAGUGCCGAUUUGACAGUUAUCAGGAAAGAGUUCAAGUAGCAGGCAUCCAGGGCAUUUUUGGAACAAGGAGAUACAAGUCCUUUUUGGUAAUUCGCAGAGCGCAGCAUUAAAAGGAGGAACGAAGGGCUGAAGUAGGGAGUCUUCUUCCCCCUGGGAGGAACCGCCGCACAGCAGAGGGCUGUCUGGUCCUCUUAGUUUUUCCGUUUCUUUAGUUUUAGCUUCGGAUUUUGACUUUUCUUCUCGUAGGAAUUUUGGGUAGCCUUGAGCUUAGCAACUUUUGUUGACCCUUUUUUGGCCUUUUAGCUAGUUUGUUCUUACGCAUGGAAGAUGGCUGAAUAGCUGAGGCUUGUUCUUUGUUUUUCUUUGACUUUUCCUUUUGGUUUGCUUCCUGCGGACGCCCAGACCGAAGGAAAACUAUGAAGUCCCUUUUGUAGCUUUCUCUCUUUAUUAAAUAGACGAAUUGAAUUCCCUCAACUUGCGAAUUGAUGGCCGCAGCUUUUGCUUCAAUUUCUUGUGGGUUUAGUUCAUUAAUUAUGAACUAAUUCUACAAUUCUAGUCAAGGGGACAACUGACGAUUUGGUUCGACAAUUACUGUGAGAUCGAAUCUGUUUUAAUUAUUUUCUUCAUUUAUUGGUAUUUAUAUGUUCCUUGAUUUUAAUUGCUAUGGCCUUGUGUAUGAUUGAUUAGUGCGCAAUAAUUAAUUAUUCAUAUAGGCUAUUUUGCUAAAUAGAGGUAAUUGAAUCCGUAAUUGUUCGUUAUCUCUAUCUUAGUAGCAACUGGCGUAAUUGGGUUUAUGUCAGGGGAGCAUAUGAUCUAGCUUAAACAAACCCUCGUAGCGUGUUUGUUGGUUAGGAUUGGGCCUUUCUAAUUAUUAAUGCAAUCUAGAAAUUAAAUCUUACGGUCGUACCUAGGGUUGUUUUUGGGUUAGAGAAAUAGCUAACGGUCGUACCUUAGCUAUCGAUAAAUUAAGGAAGGGUUGGUUGUUUAUCGCGUGCAUGACAACUAUAACCAAUCUAUUAAUAAAUGUUGGGAUUAUUUUUGCAUCAAUGAUCAGUGCAUGAACCAUUUCUGAAGUAUACCCUUGGCUAGAGUUUCUCUUAGUUAUUUCUUUUAAUUAAUUAUUUUCUGCAGUUAAUUUAUUUAGUUAGCAUUUAAUCCAAAACCCCCCAUACUUUGGACUCUAAAAGAAACAAUUACUCCCAGUCCCUGUGGAUUCGACCCUGCUCACCGCUAUCUACAGAAAUCACUUUUAGUUUGAGCAGGUAUUUAUUAUUGCACAGGCUUCGACGACCUGUCAAUCUUUGGCGCCGUUGCCGGGGACUGGUGCCAGAUUAAAUUGUUUCUUUUUGAGUUUAUCUUGUUUUCAUUUUUUUAAUUUAUUUUUCUCUUAUUUUUUAUUAUUAUUAUUAUUUUUUUUAUGGCUGCUAACAUUCCAUAUUUUGAUGAUAGACUGGAUUUUGUUCCUGAAUGGGGUUAUGAGACUCAUGUUUUUCCUAACGAUCAAUGGGCUGUUGCAAAUUGUGGAACUUAUUUUGACUCAAGUUAUUCAACUGACACAUGCCCCGUAUUUCAAGAUAAUUUAAGUUCUCCACUUGAUACUUUUGGAGAUUUUUCACCCCAAUAUCAAACGUGGUAUGACCCUUAUUCAAACGGGUAUGAUCAAGGAUGGUGGGAUAAUUCCAAUUUUGAUUAUGCGACCGGGCCAAUGGAUUUUCAACAGCAAGAGUCUCAGCAAUCAUCCUCCGUGUCAGGUAUGUCUCUUGAAGAAAUGAUAGGUUUACUAAUUGCUAAUUCAAAUCGAUUUCAUCAGGAGACACAAGCGAGCCUAAAUCGAUUUCAUCAGAGGACACAAGCGAGCUGUCGCGACCUGGCGGAUCAACUGCGUCAAUUGACAGCCAGGAUGCAGCGAUUAGAGGCUCACCUUGAAGAAUUGCCCUCGCAAACCAAUAUCAAUCUUGAGGAAGAUGAGAGUGCAAUUGUCCGGGCAAAUGACAUGGAACUGCAAGAGUUUCAAGAAAACGGAUUUAAAGAUGCAGUUGAAAAGGAAGCUGAAGUGCAAGAAAUGAGACUCCAAGAUCAACUCGUUCAAGUGAAUGAAUCCAGUGAACAAUCUCCAAAUGCGGUGACAUCUUCUCCACUCCUUAAUCAAUAUUUUCCUGGCUCCUAUUCUUCAACUCCUGUUACUGAAAUUGAUUUUAUUAUACCAGAAAAUUUAAAAUUUCAUGACAGGAAUAAGUUAAGAGUGGAGAUGGCAAAAUAUCUUGAACCAAUGAAUGCGUGUGAUGGAGGAGUGAGUGGAGAAUGCAGAUCAUUGUUGACUUGUUUAGCGCCAUUUACUAGUCCAUGGAAGCCCGUAACUCGUGUGCCCAAGAAUUACUCCAUCUAUGAGGGUUACCAGGAUCACGUUGAAGAUGAAGCAUUGAAGCGAGCCACAAGAUUUUAUCCUCCAUGAGCAAAACAUGAUAAUGUCUAGCCAAAGACAUUAAAGAAAGGCGCUCAUUGGGAGGCAACCCAAUUUCUUUUAGUUGUUUGUUUGAUUUUAUUUGUUAGUUUAAAUCUGUCUUCCUUGAAUUUGACUGAUUUUGGGUGUUAAUUUUCGUUUUUACUGAUUUGUAGGUGACCUUCAGUCAUGACGCGCCCGCGUGGUGACGUGCAGGAAGCUCACGAUCAGAAACUUCUGGGAGCUCUCUUACCCUCAUGACGUGCCCGCGUCAAGUCACCUGGAGAGUUCCAGAUUCCGUGCCUUCAUGGUGUGCCCACGUCACGUUCACGGGAGAGAUAAGUAUUUAAAAAAAAAAUUCAAAAACGAUUGUUGAUUGUUGGUUAUCUCUGCUUUUGAAUCUCGAAAAUAAAAUUUGCUAAUGAAAAUAAAUUUCAAAAAAAUAAAAAAAAAUUUUUUAAAAAAAAAAAUUUAAAUUUUUGUUUCACGGUAGCUUAGAUUUUCAAAUCCUAAAAAAAAAAAAAAACACAGAAACUCUUUCUUAUCAACGUAGCUUUAGUGUCAAAUAUUUUAAAAAAAAAAAAGUCUCAAAUGAAAAAAAAAAAGGGCUUUUCUUUUUCUUUCUUUUCUUUCUUUCUUCUUCUUUCUCUUUUCUGUCUUCCUUCUCCCCUGUUUCUUCUUCCUCUCUGUUGACCGAAGCCCUCUGUCCGCCGCCGCUGCUGAAGCGCCCUCAGCCGUCGCGCAGCAGCUCCUCACUCGAAGACGCCGCGGCCACAGCACCUCUGCACGCGGCCUCCACCUCUCCAUCGCGCGCCGUCAAGAGCUCCGCCGACCCACGACGCGCGAGGCACCAGCUCGCGCGCCUCCCCCACCUAGCAACUGCUGGCCGACCAGCCCCACCACCAGCCCGCGCCGCACCUGCUGGCCGACCUAUCAACUCCUAAGCUCGCGAACCUCCUCAGCUCAGCUCCACCAGCGAGCUGCUCCUCGCUCACUCCAUCGCGUGAAGACCAGGCGAGCACGGCCCGCAGCCUCUCACCGCCACUGCGCACCUCUGACCAGCUCGCAGCACCUCUCUCUGCCCUCCGUGCGCUGCCCGCGCGUGGCACCAGCGCCUCCACAGCUCGUCGACGAAGCCCAAGCUGACAGACCACGCCGCUCGUCCACUUCCACCACUCGCGACGCACAGAUCAGCGCUGCCGUUGGUUGCCCAACCUCCCUGGUGCCAGGUUUUUCUUACUAAUUUUGUGGUCUACGAUUCCAAUUUCUUGAUGAUGGGAUUUUUGAUGAUUACGAUUUCAUUGAGUAAAUUUGAUUGGCUUGCAUCUGUGUUACUGGAGCCCGUGGGUUGGGUUAUGACCUGCAACUGAUUUGCCUAGUCUAAUAUAAUUGUCAUUUGUUUGGGCUCUUGAAGUACUGUCUAGUGUUGUUUGUAUUUCUUAGUGAAUUGAGUUUGCCGUUUGAUUUCAUUCUUCCCUGUGCGUACACCAGUGGUACUGGUUGUGGUAGUUGCCUAACAUUUAUUCAUUCUCAUUGGUGUGGCUGUUGGGAUUGAAAGCUCAGAACUUGUGACUAAGUUGUUAUUGCCUAAAUGCUGACCUGCUAUUACUAGACUUGCUGAUUUCUUGGGAGCAUUUGUUGGGAUUUUGGGUGGAUAUUAGCAAGUGGUAUAUUGCUUGAUUUUUUUUACCUGUGCCUUGCUUGGAGUUUCUAGUGCAUGUUUGGGGCUGCCUUGGGAGUUAUUUGCCACAAUUGAUUGCCGUUUUGGUUUCUUCUGUUUCUGGUACUGCUUGUGCUGAUGGAUUUAUCAGUGUUUUGGGCGGCUUAUUUGAAUUGCUUCUUCCCUGUGUGUUUGGUCAGCUGUUUGCUUGAAAACCCAAACCCUUGUGCUUAUAUUUGCUCCCAGUUGAGUUAUGUGUUGGACUUUCCAAUUGGUGACAACUUUUGGGCUUUAGGGGUGAGUUCAUUUUGUCAUUAUUUGCUACCUUGUUGGGGUCAUUUUUGGUUUCACCUGAGUCUAUUGUCCUGCCUUCUGUUUUGAGUCCAUUGGAGUGACGUGAGUUGAGUAAUUUCUGCUUUUGUUUGUUGAUUUGGAAGGCUACUGUGCCACUUUCAUUGCUUAUUGCUUAGUGAUUAUGUCUAAUUAACAAUGUGCAUAGCAUGGCGCAGAAUUUGGCAGCAUUCAUGUAGCAUGCCGGUCUUAUACCUCAAUUGGGUACCUCUAUUUGGUUGGCUGCGUUCUUAUUGUCCAAUAUCUAUGCUGUUUUCAAUGGAAUUGCUGAUCUUGGGUUAAGACUUUAGCUGGCCAACUGGAGCCAUUUGUUGAGAUUUUGGGUGAACUGCAAUACUGCACUCGUUUGUUCAAUUGGGAGGUUUCUUUUGGUAUUCUGGUUGAGUUAUUUCUAAAGUUGCCUGAUGAAUUGAGAGACAUAGAUGGCUAUUGCUCUGCCCUGAUAUUGCUUGGUUGCCAGUGCGCAUUCUCUAUGCCAAGUGGCAAGGAUGUCUCAGAACUCGGCUUCCCUCCACUGUUCCCUCCUAUCCCUUAGCUGUUCAGCAGGGAAGUCUCGUUAUCCUCUUCGCUUUAAUUAUUUUAUUACCUCCAUUGAGGACAAUGUAGGAUUUAGGUGUGGGGGGAGCAGUUAUGGUGCUAGUGUCUUUCGUUCAUUUUCUUUUUCUUCUUUUUAGUGAUUGGCUCGUAAGUGCAUGCCAAGGUUUGAUGUUGGAUUAUUGCCUCUAUUUCUACUUUUGCCAAGUUUUAAUAAUAAAAGGGUAUCAAGUUAAUGUGGUUGAAUCCAAAAACAUCUCUUUGGUGAAUAUCAAUAAUUGUUUUACUCUUAUAAUUUUUUGGUUAACUUUCCUAGGCAUAGGGAAUGAUUAUUGGCAUUUUUAGUGAAUUGGUCCGGUUAUUAACCUUAGUUCUCCAUGUUUGAAAAUGAGGCUAGCUGAUGCAAGUUUUCUUUUGGUUCUUGUGUUAUAUUGAGUUUUUGUGAUUUUUAGCUCUGAAUAAACUUGACUGUACUCCGCUAUUAGUUACUACUGAGUAACCGGGGAUCUGCACCUAAAAGUGUUGAUUCUCGCGUCAAAAGAUAGUAGUUCCUAUGAGUACGUGGUCACGUGGCGAUAGAAGCUGAGUAACCGGGCUCCUUCAUCUGGCCAAUGUUGGAAUUCGCGUCAAAAGGCUCUAAUGGCUAGCGACUAAGUCUUUUGUUACUAUUGAAAAAAAACGAGAAAGAAGAAGAAGAAAAAAAAAAGAAAAAAAAGAGAAAAGUAGAAAAAUGUGAAAGAAAAAGUGAAUGCUGUGUUAGUGUAUAAUAAAAGUCAGCUUGCCGAUUUAUGGAUUUAAUGUUGAGAUUUUGGUUAAUAGUUGGACCAUUUGCUGAUAACUGUUAUGCGUCAUUCCUUUUUCUUAGAUUGGUUAACAUGAAAUUAGAGGAAUUUAUGGUUUAGAAGCUAACCGGAGUGAUGUUUCUUGGACUAGACCAUUGAUGCUUGAUUAUUAUAUUUUCUUGGUAUCUUGGCAAUAUGGUAGAUGGAGUAAUAGCCAUUGGCAAGUGUUGGUGUUUAUUUGCUGUUCUCAUGCUUGAGGACAAGCAUGGUUUAGGUGUGGGGGGAAUUGAUAGGUUGCAAUUUUAUCAUUUAUUUUAUUAUUAAUUUUCCCUAUUACUUAACCCAAUGUGAAUUAAUUAUUAGAUUCUACUCACUUUUAGUAUUUUACAUAUAUUUCAGGGAGUAGAACGAAAAUACCAUAAUAAGUGUCCGAUUUGACAGUUAUCAGGAAAGAGUUCAAGUAGCAGGCAUCCAGGGCAUUUUUGGAACAAGGAGAUACAAGUCCUUUUUGGUAAUUCGCAGAGCAGCAGCAUUAAAAGGAGGAACGAAGGGCUGAAGUAGGGUCUUCUUCCGCCUGGGAGGAACCGCCGCACAGCAGAGGGCUGUCUGGUCCUCUUAGUUUUUCCGUUUCUUUAGUUUUAGCUUAGGAUUUUGACUUUUCUUCUCGUAGGAAUUUUGGGUAGCCUUUAGCUUAGCAACUUUUGUUGACCCUUUUUUGGCCUUUUAGCUAGUUUGUUCUUACGCAUGGAAGAUGGCUGAAUAGCUGAGGCUUGUUCUUUGUUUUUCUUUGACUUUUCCUUUUGGUUUGCUUCCUGCGGACGCCCAGACCGAAGGAAAACUAUGAAGUCCCUUUUGUAGCUUUCUCUCUUUAUUAAAUAGACGAAUUGAAUUCCUUCAACUUGCGAAUUGAUGGCCGCAGCUUUUGCUUCAAUUUCUUGUGGGUUUAGUUCAUUAAUUAUGAACUAAUUCUACAAUUCUAGUCAAGGGGACAACUGACGAUUUGGUUCGACAAUUACUGUGAGAUCGAAUCUGUUUUAAUUAUUUUCUUCAUUUAUUGGUAUUUAUAUGUUCCUUGAUUUUAAUUGCUAUGGCCUUGUGUAUGAUUGAUUAGUGCGCAAUAAUUAAUUAUUCAUAUAGGCUAUUUUUUGCUAAAUAGGGGUAAUUGAACCCGUAAUUGUUCGUUAUCUCUACCUCAGUAGCAACUGGCGUAAUUGGGUUUAUGUCAGGGGAGCAUAUGAUCUAGCUUAAACAAACCCUCGUAGCGUGUUUGUUGGUUAGGAUUGGGCCUUUCUAAUUAUUAAUGCAAUCUAGAAAUUAAAUCUUACGGUCGUACCUAGGGUUGUUUUUGGGUUAGAGAAAUAGCUAACGGUCGUACCUUAGCUAUCGAUAAAUUAAGGAAGGGUUGGUUGUUUAUCGCGUGCAGGACAACUAUAACCAAUCUAUUAAUAAAUGUUGGGAUUAUUUUUGCAUCAAUGAUCAGUGCAUGAACCAUUUCUGAAGUAUACCCUUGGCUAGAGUUUCUCUUAGUUAUUUCUUUUAAUUAAUUAUUUUCUGCAGUUAAUUUAUUUAGUUAGCAUUUAAUCCAAAACCCCCCAUACUUUGGACUCUAAAAGAAACAAUUACUCCCAGUCCCUGUGGAUUCGACCCUGCUCACCGCUAUCUACAGAAUUAAUUUUAGUUUGAGCAGGUUUUAUUAUUGUACAGGCUUCGACAACCUGUCAUUGAGCAUUUGAAAAGUGAAAUUUUUGUCCACCAAACUGCUUAUACCCGGAAGGUAUUAAAGUAGUUUUAUAUGGAUAAGGCAUAUACAUUAAGUACCCCAAUGGUCAGAUCAUUAGAUCCUAAUAAGGACCCUUUUAGACCGCGAGAGGAAGUUGAAGAGAUACUUGGUCCUAAAGUACCAUAUCUCAGUGCAAUUAGUGCACUAAUGUAUCUUGCUAAUUGUACAAGACCUGAUAUAUCAUUUGCAAUAAAUUUAUUAGCAAGAUUUAGUUCUCGCUCACAAGACGACAUUGGAAUAGUAUUAAACAUAUUUUUUGUUAUCUCCAAGGAUCAAUUGAUCUUGGCUUAUUUUAUUCAAAUAAAUCUAAACUUGAAUUGUUUGGUUAUGUUGAUGCUGGAUAUUUAUUUGGCCCACAUAAAGUAAGAUCUCAGACUGGUUAUCUAUUUACAUAUGGAGGUACAACCAUUUCUUGGCGAUCUACAAAGCAAUCAUUAGCUGCCAUUUCAUCGAAUCAUGCUGAAAUAAUAGCAAUUCAUGAAAUUAGUUGAGAAUGUGUUUGGUUAAAAUCAAUGACCCACUAUAUCCGGAAAAGUUGUGGGUUAUCCUCCGAAAAAGAAAAUCCUUCAACUAUAUUAUAUAAAGAUAAUGCAGCUUGUAUAACUCAAUUGAAAGGAUGAUAUAUUAAAAGAGAUAGAACGAAAUAUAUUUCACCAAAAUUCUUUUUUACUCAUGAUUUACAAAAGAAUGGUGAAAUUGAUGUGCAACAAAUCUGAUCAGAUAAUAAUUUGACAGAUUUAUUUACCAAUGCAUUGCCAACUGCAAUAUUUAAGAAAUUGGUGAAGAAUAUUGGAAUGCGACGACUAUAAGAUCUCAAAUGAUAUUUGCAUCCGGGGGAACAAUCAAUACACAAGAAUAGUGUACUCUUUUUCCUUCAUUAAGGUUUUUAUCCCGUUGGAUUUUUUCCUAGUAAGGUUUUAAUGAGACACAUUCUUUGUGUAAUGGACAUCCAAUGGGGAGUGUUAUGAAACAACUAAAAAUGUGGAUGCCCAUUUGUAUUCUCAAGAAGAUCAAUUCAUAAUUCAUUGCUUCCAAAAGGAUUAAUUCAUAAUUCAUUGCUACAUUAUAUAAAGGAAUUACAUUGGAUGAACGGUUUCAAUCCAUAAGAGCUAUUCAUGUAUUGGAUGAACCAUUUCAUAUGGUUAUUUAUGUUCUUGUAGUAAUGAGUGUUUAAUAGAAUUGAUGUACCUUUAAUUUUGUAGUACCUAUAUAUAGAGGUACCUUGGCACCUCUUGGAUGUACUUUUUGAUUAGUUGGAAUAAUAAAAAAAUCAUUCUCCAUUUCUGUACUUUUUUUUCUAAUAUUUUAAUUCCUAUUAUAGUAGUUCAUUUUUUUUUUAGUUUUACAACAUUACUCAAAGAAGAGGGUUAUUGGACUAUAUGUUUAUUGACCUCUACUAGGGAUGACAAUGGGGGCGGGUGACGGCAAUGGGGGCGGGUGACCGCGGGCACCCGUCCCGCGGGGGGCUAAUGGGGAGAGGGAUGGGGCCGGGGCGGGGGGUAGGGGAGUGUACCCCCGCCCCAUCCCCCGUCCCGCUACCCGCUUUAAAAAAAUAAAUAUAUAAAAUAUAUAUAGGUAUAUAAUUAUAUAUAUAAUAUAUAAUUUAAUUGGUUACAAACUUAUGAUAAUAAUAUUAUUAGUUAUAUGUAUUAUAUGAUGUCUAUUAGUAUAAAUAAUAUAAUUGAUAUUAUUAAUUAUACUAAUAAUUAUAUAUGUGUACUCAUACAAAUUAUUAAUUGGUUAUACUAAAUUUACUAAUACAUUUAUACUAAAUCCCUAAUUACACUUAAUACAAUAACAUUAUUUUCAUAAAAAAAACACAACCACAAUAAUGAAUUAGUGAUUGUAUUUGUACCAAAAGUGAAAAUUUGAUUACUUUAGUUAUAUUUUUUUCAUCAUGUUGGAUUGUAUUCAAAUAAUUUUUGUUUGAUUGUUUUUAUAAGUUUCAAUUGUAAAAUUGCAAUGAAUAAUAAUUUGAUGAUGUGUUGAUAUUUUAGUACUUGAUUAUUUGCUAAAAUUUAAUCAUAAUAAAAUUAUAUAACAAAUUUUUAUUAGCUCAGCGGGAGCACCCGCCGGAGAAGCGGGGCAGGGUGGGGACGGGGCGAGGGAAGCGGGGGAUGGGGGAGGGGUCCCCCGCCCCAACCCUCUUCCCCAUCUCCCGCCCCGUUGCCAUCCCUAACCUCUACUAACUUAUUUAAGGUCAUUUUAUAUCACUAUCCAAAGAAGAAUUAAGGUCAUUUUAUAUCACUAUCCAAAGAACAAUUCUUGGGCGUUAACAUUUUUCUUACAUGCCAAGACUAUUAAUGAAAGUUGACCCAAAUCUCUCUCUCUCUUUCUCUCAAUUCUUAGGACUGAUGCCAAUUCUUACCAUUUAGAAAGAAAAAUUAGAUUGUUUAUAUAUAUGAUGAGUUCCCUCUAAGUCAUGGUUAAGAAAAAUUCUUAGUUAGACGCAGUUUUAUGAAAUGUGAAUUUCCUUUUCUUUGUCUUUAUUCGUUAGUAUUAUUGGGGUUAUUGUAUUAUGAUUGCAAUGCACAGAUACAUGGAUUUUUGACAUUUUUUUCUCAUUUUUUCUUUUUAAUUGACUCUGACUAUGUCUCAAACUCGAGACAUCAAACCUGGAGAAGACUUUUGUCCAAAAUGCUUGUAAAAAUUCAGAAGAAUAAUGUUGGACCUUAUUAUUUAAUAAUGGUGCAAUUAUGAGAGUCAUUCCUGGUUUAAUUAUCAACAUCAUGUCAUUAUUAUUUUUUUGUUUCAUAGAAAAAUAAAGUAUUCUCCGACUCGACAUUAUCAUAUUAUUUUCAAUUGGCAGCUUUAAGUGAGAAAGGCCGGUGAAAAUUUUGGGCAUUACUAGUUUAUUUAGGCCUCACGCGCUCCGUGAAGGUGCCGACGUCAUCUUCGUUUUAAUGGAAAAAUUUGAGCGCGCUUUGAUCAUAAGGAAUUCACAAUCAUCGGGCCAACAAAGAAAGCACUAAAUGGUUAAAACAAACCAUGCAAAUUUGCUCAGCACUUAAACAAUAGACUCCUAAACCGACCAUUUUACUGUCUUGCCAAAAAAGGGCAUUAAAGUAAAAACAACCCAUGCCUAACACAACUAACAAACUUCAGCACCUUCACUUCACUGCCACGUCAUCAACAACAUCUGUAAAUUUCCAAGGAAGUCCACGCACUAAAGGUGCCAUGGGGGACCUCAGGUUAGUGUUCUUAACAUCAACUCCUGUCUUUAUAUUCUUAGGAAAUAUUGAAAUUAAACAUUAUAACUAAUCCUGAUUUCCUUAUGCUGUAUUUGUACACAAUUUGGCAACUUGAUAAAAAGUUUGUUCCAAUUUAUUCCAAUUUAAUUUGUCAGCUAGUCGAAUCUAAUUUGAAUAGUAUUUAACUUUGAAAUUUGAUAAAAAGUUUGUUCAAACUUGGUUUACUAAAUAAACAAGUUAAGUUUGAACAAAAUUUCAAACUUAUUAAAAUAAUUAAAUACGUUUGAAUACUAGGGUAUUCAAUUUAAUUAGACUCGUUUGCACCCAUAAUUAAAGCAUGCACUUUUUUAUAAAUUUAGGAAUCAACAUUAUCUAUUUGAUAGCUAGCUAAUGGCCCAAAAAGUUAAUUGCCUUAAAUUCUUUUAGCAGCCAUAAAGUAUAGUUGGAGGGAUUCCCUUGAAAUUGAUUAGAUUCUUCUAUGUGACUGUGACGUAUUACUAGUCCUACCCAAAAAAAAAUGGUAUUACUAGUCCUUUUUUCUUUUUGUGGCGUGCCACCGCCGUAGGGGGCGGGGAGGGCAGUCAGUGCGAGAAUUCUAGAUGGGGUAGAAGUAGCCAAAGUUCACCUUAUUCAAAGUAAACAACCGACAAUCUCAGUUGUCGACUUUCCUGUCGAUUGCGUAUAUAUUACUAUCUUUUACCAUGACUUUAGAGGAUACCUAAUUUUGCUUGCUAUUAAAUAAUAAUUCCUGGCACCACAUAAUUCUUUCAAGAACUACCAAAACCUUCUUGAAAUCCCUCUUUUUCCUUUUAGUUCAUUUCCAAGAAACAAAUUGAACCAUCAUGGCCCCUGUCACUUCCAGUUAUGAGGUCACCUCCUCAAUCCCUCCUGCAAGGUUGUUCAAGGCCACCAUCCUUGAAGAGAAGCAUCUUCACAAGAUCUUGCCACAGGGCGUUAAGAGUGUCGAAAUCCUUGAAGGAGAUGGUGGAGUUGGCACAAUUAAGUUGACCACAUUUGUUGAAGGUAAGAUAUCAAUACAAAGUGAUUAUUUUCACACAUUUGAAGUCCUCAAAAUGUUCUUUUUUUUUUUUAACAUUUUAUUUGUGGGGGUAAGUAUGUAUGUAAGCCCUAAUAACCUUUUUUUUUUUGUUGGGUUAAAUAUUUAGGUGGCGAGCUUAAGACUGCCAAACAGAGAGUUGAUGGAAUUGACAAAGAAAAAUUUACAUACAGUUAUACUGUACUUGAAGCUGAUGGAUUUAACGAUGUAAUCGAGAAAAUCUGUUGUGUCAUCAAAUUUGAACCCUCUGCUGAUGGAGGUUCAAUCUGCAAAACCACUAAUACAUACUACCCCAAAGGUGGUGCUCAGAUCAGUGAGGAACACCUCAAGGGAGGAAAAGAGAAGGGUUUGGGAAUGGUUAAGGCUGUUGAGGCUUACCUCCACGCAAAUCCUACUGCCUACAACUAAUUAAAAUGAAUGCUACUGAAGGACUCUUCGACAUAUUUUCUUCAAGAUUGAAGUAUAAACUGAGGGUGUCUGUUUC
This 75055-nucleotide long non-coding RNA is filed under the name Coffea arabica (coffee). Its description in RNAcentral is "long non-coding RNA (CARA_LNC002175)". The record is from RNAcentral. Lineage: Eukaryota; Viridiplantae; Streptophyta; Magnoliopsida; Gentianales; Rubiaceae.